Molecule: long non-coding RNA, 49223 nt
Filed under: Jatropha curcas
Lineage: Eukaryota; Viridiplantae; Streptophyta; Magnoliopsida; Malpighiales; Euphorbiaceae
Description: long non-coding RNA (JCUR_LNC000274)
Source: RNAcentral
AUUUUUUUUAUUAUUUAAUGCACUGUUCUUGCAACUUAUUUUUCUGGUUAAUAUACUGUGAUUUGUGAAUGGCAGUUCAUUUCAAGCUUCUAAAUGUGUUUUUGAUCUCUAAAUAAGACUGCAUUUUAAUAUUGAUUACAGGCUUUUUAUUCCAGAGUAGUAGUAGCUCCAACACCAGCCCCUGCACCACCAGUGGUCAAGCCACCCAUCACUAAUCCACCAGUAGUGAACCCUAGUCCGCCGGUAGUCAAGCCACCAGUUUAUUCUCCACCAGUGGUCAAGCCACCCAUCACUAAUCCACCAGUAGUGAAACCUAGUCCGCCGGUAGUCAAGCCACCAGUUUAUUCUCCACCAGUGGUCAAGCCACCCAUCACUAAUCCACCAGUGGUGAAACCUAGUCCCCCGGUAGUCAAGCCACCAGUUUCUUCUCCACCAGUGGUCAAGCCACCAACUCCUACCACACCGGUCGUCAAGCCACCAGUUUCUUCUCCACCAGUGGUCAAGCCACCAACUCCUACCCCACCAGUCGUCAAGCCACCAGUUGCUACCCCGCCAGUGACCAAACCCCCCACUCCUUCACCACCACUAACCAAGCCACCAAGUAGUCCUGCACCAGUAACCAAACCACCCACCACUCCAACACCACCAGCAUAUAAGCCACCAGUGACGCCACCAUCUGGUUCACCAAUGCCCCCUCCGGUUAGAACAAGAGCAGGUAACGCAUAGAAAUUGAAGCUUAAAUGUUAUAUUUGGUACACAUCAUGAAAAAGUUUGAAUUUUUCUUAUUUUAUACAUUGCGAGUGAAAAUGGGUGUUGAAGAUUAAUUCUGUUGGUUGCAGAUUGCCUCCCACUAUGUGCAGAAAGAUGCAAAUUACAUUCAAGAAAAAACAUCUGUGAAAGAGCUUGCAUGACAUGCUGUGACAGGUGCAAAUGUGUGCCCCCAGGAACUUACGGUAACAGAGAAAAAUGUGGCAAGUGCUACACUAACAUGACUACUCGUGGCAACAAACCCAAGUGCCCUUGAAAUUUCAAGAAACUAAAACUACUUCUCUCUUCAUAUAUAUUAUAGUUAUAGAUAAAUGAAAUAUAUCUUUCUAAUUGUUAUUUAAGUUUCAAGUCUCUAAUGGAGAAAAAGAAAUAAAUGUUCUUGUUUCUGUUUCUGGCGUUAGAUGCAGGUAGUAUAUAUUAAUUGAGCAAUCAGUGUUAUAAAUAUUGUACUGAGGCAAGUCUGUGCUUAGGUAGCUGUUUCCUUGAGUUUUAAAUGCUGAUUGCAGAUAUUAAUAUAUGUUGUUGUUUCAGUAAUAUAUAAACGGUCAGGUUUAAAAUUGCAUAUAAAGUAUUAUAAGAUUUCGAGUUUAAACCAUUUCCACUGUAACUAAACUACCAGAAGAAAACAAGAAAAGAAAUCAUAGAUCAAAAUAAUAUAGAUCGAGCUGCAAGUGAAGCAUAGAUCAAUGAUUUUUCAAAUAUGUUAAAGUUUUAAACUCUUCAAAUCUUUUCAUUAUUGAUAUGAAAUUAACUUUGAUAUUCUAUUAGUAUAAAUUGAUGCUCAAAGAUUAGCAAUAAUAACUAUGCUUCUAUUAUAUCUUCCACUAGCCAAAAUGCUUGGUUAAAAACCACUUUGUCAUCUGCGUAUUUAUUUCCUCUGCAAUUACCACCAGCAAGACACUGCUAGCCCAGCAAUUAAUUAUUUUUUCAUUUCGCCAUAGGGCUUAGCACAGUUAAGCUUUUGGAGAAACCUGGUGUGGUUAGGGGCUCUGUAUGAGUUGAAUUGUUUAAUAAAUAAAAUUAAAUCCAAAACUAAAGAUUCAUUUUACUUCUACUCGACUUAUAUAUUCAAUCGGAAAUCAAUAUGAAAUGGAAAUGGAUAACCAAUCAAAUAAAAUAAGGAUAAUAUUGAAAAAAUAUUAUUUAUUAUUUUUUAGAAUAUUCAAAACGAUUUAUACGUUGGAAUAAAAUAAACACUUUAAAAAGGAAAUAUAUGAAUGCAUCUUUUAUGAAAUUUCUUUUGUUUUUUCCUUAGGCUCGUAUUAUAUCAUAAACCACUAUCCAAAAGGUCGAAAGCAUAUUGAUAGGUUUCAUCAUCCAAGAAAGUUAUGUGCUUAUACACGUUCCACCUCUUAAAUUCCUAUAUAAAGAGGAAAUUAGAAACACAAAGUGGGAACUCCUGGCUUAGCUCCAGCACCUGCUACUAAUGCAAGCUCCCUUGCUUUUUUGCCAUUUAUGGUGAUUGGAUUUGUGGGUUUUGCUGUUUUAUUUUUGGUGCUUAAAUUGGUGAACUAAUUUCUGCGUUGUUUUUUUUGAUAAUUAAUGAGUUCAUGUGUUUGUUAGAUUGUUUAAUUAUGUUAUAUUAAUAAAAUUGUUCUGCCAGUUUGUGAUUGUUUAAUUAUAUUGAGGAAGAAAUUUUAUGUUGUACACUUCUAAAUAGUCUCACUUUAAUUUUAUUAAAAAUUAUUAUUAUUAUUAUUAAAGGUCCUCAAGAAUAUACCAUUAAGAGAUAUCUGAUUCAAAUUUCACGGCGGUUGGAGAAGGUUUAUAAGGUAAAUUGGAGAAAGUUUAUAAGGUAAAUGAGCGAUCUUUCGUUAUAAUGUUUUCUGUUGUGUAGCUCAUUUAAAUUUCGAUAAAAAAAUAUUUCUUAAACUUGAAAAAUGGCCUGUUUAAAACUAAAUGAUAUAAUAAUAGAAAGCAAUGUCAGACUACCAAAGUGAUAAACAUAAAAAUGCUGGGCUAAUGGGCUUGAUGUGGAUUUAUUCAUUUUUUUAUUUACCAAACGUUUGAUUUUUGCAGUUAGACCAUAGAAAUGAUAUUUUCAUCAUUUACAAAAAAAAUAGGAAGAAUAUAUUUUUGUUAUAGAAUAAAAAAUACAAUAUAUAAAAGUUAACAUAGAAGCUUGUUUUUUACUCGACAGAUAAAUAUUUUUUUUCCAAAAUCAUUUCUAAAUAUAAGAUUUUAAUUUCUUAUAUUUAUAUUUCUUAGUGCUAUGAAAAUAUUAUGAUAUACUCAUAUUACAUUUUUUAUUAAUGAAUUAUCAAUUUUCUUUAAAGAAAAGGUUAGCUUAUGAGUUGUUCUGAAUAAAUCAUAGUCAUAUUAUAUUUUUCAUUAUUGAAUUAUCAAUUUUUUCUAAAGAAAGGUUAGCUUAUGAGUUUUUAGUAGAUGUAUUUGAUUAUUCAAAUCAUUGUUUGGAAUAUUUAACGAAGCAAAUUUUCAAAUUUGUCAUUGAUGUUAUAUUCACAAUACUGAAAUGUGUGGUUUCAAACUUGUUAACUUAAACAUUACAUUUAACUUCAAUUAGCUAAAUUAGAAUCUAACCCUACAUUACGAGGAAAAGGGGCCAAAAGAAAGCGAAAUGGAUUGCAUCUUCACAUGAAUUUGUUGUAUAAAAAUUAAGGAUUUAAAAUUUGAAAUUUAAAAUCGUCGCUGUCGAAAGUGUUUUAUUUGUCAUCUCUGAUGUGAGUGCAAAAACACAUAAAUAAAUAGGGUUUUGCUAAAUGACACAAGUUAUGUGUAAUAUAAUCAUUCAUAUUUACAAUUACACGUGUGGCAUCAACAAUAUAUCUAAAAUGUUAAAAUUUUUUUUUUAAGGAUAUUACAAUCUUUCGAACCAAAUAUUAGAAAUUGAAAUAAUUUAAUACCUUUGUUUGCUCAUAAUAAAAAAUAAAAAAGAAAAAAGAAAAUAGGAGUUAAGCGACUUUGAGAUCUAUGAUGCCGAGAUAUGCAAAAGCCAAGGCCCAUAAAAUAAGAUCCAUCUUCGGUAUAUCAAGCCCAAUGCUCUACCAGAGUCCCGAGAUCUAGUUUUGAUUUUUCAAGAUCCAAGUUCAGUUUUGAUCUUUCUCGCAUUCAACCAACUACUACUUUGCUGCAAGAAAAUUAAGAACAGAAAACAUAAAACAGAAGCAAGCAUAAGCUAAGGAAAAGCGAAAUGGUUAGUAGUGAUGGGAUCUUGGGGAUCAAAGAAGGAGAAAGAAUAAAAGCAGAAACUCUUAAAAGAAAGAAACGGCUAAAGAGACGAGAGAGAUGGUUGGUAAUACUUGGCGUGAUCCUUCACGCAAUUUAUAUGCUAAGCAUUUUCGAUAUCUACUUCAAAACCCCAAUUGUCCAUGGCAUGGAUCCUGUCGAACCUCGCUUCAAGGCUCCAGCGAAACGUCUCGUGCUUCUAGUAGGUAGGAUCUGCUAUUAAGUACUAUCUGUUUGAUUAUAUGUUUAAAUGAAUGAAGAUGUGAGUUUAUUUUUCAUGUUUUUUCCAUCAAUUUCAGUUCUUAAGAAAAUUUGGGUUUGAAAUUUGCUAAUUGUGCGAAAUGGGGUUUGCCCAUUUGAUAUCCACUUUAAUUAUUUACUAUAAAACAUAAAUAUAAGGAGGAGAACAUAAUAUUGGCGAGAUGGGAUUGUUUAAUUAAGUUAUACCUUUAGUUAACUUGAUCUUAAAUGUGAGUAACUGAGAAAAGCGCAUGAUCUUCUUGAACUUUAGUUCAUAGUUUGGCAUGUUAGAUUGCUUAUUGCUUAUUGAAGCAUAAUUUAUUUAUUACGAAGAACAGGGAAUGCUAAUAAAAUAAAAACGGUUGCUGGCCCUACUGGUUGUAAUUUUUAUUUUUUAAGUAUUUAAUUUUCAAAAUUUACUCAGAAACUUCAGUUCUUAGACUGCUACAACUUUUUUUUUCUCUCUCUUUUUUUUUUUUUUUUUUUUUUUUGGUUUGGUGGGGGUUGGGGGGAGGAGGAUAUUAGGGGUGUCAAAAUGGGUCUGACACACGAACACGAUUACCCUAACAUGCGAAAUAAACAGGUUAGGGUAGAAGUUAAACGGGUUACCCAUUUUUGACACAAAUAUAAACGUGUUGUGUUGCAGGUUGCCACGCGGGUUAAGCAAGUGACCCGUUUAUUUAAGAGGAAAGAGAUAAUUUUGGUGUCAAUACAAAUACUCCAAUUAAAAUCUAUUUAAACUUUAUUGUUGUAGUAAUAUUUUUUUUAUUUCAGUCAUGAAUAUUGAAAAAUCUAUGCAUUUUAUGUAUGAAAAAUUAUUUUUAAAUAUGAUUUGAAUUAAAUAGGUUAAAAUUUAAAAAUAAUAUAAGUAGGUUACAUGGGUCAUAUACAUGUCAACAUGACUCACUUAACCUGUUUAUGAUAUUAGACGGGUUACACGGGUUGUAUAUGGGUCAACGACCCACUUAACCUGUUUAUAAUAUUAGUAGACAGGUUACACGUGUCAUGUUCGUAUCACCUACCUAAUUUUCGUGUCGUGUUCAUGUCGACAAAUUUGAAACGAUUAUUAAAUGGUUCGUGUUCGUGUUGACCCUAAUUGUGUCACUCGCUAGGCGAAUCCGUGUCGAACCCGACACGCGAACCCGUUUUAACACCCCUAGAGGAUAUUGUACAGGAAAUUGUAGGUCCUUGACCUAGAGAAGUUCUCGAUUUUCCUGUGCAUAAAAUGGCUACAUUUGACCUAGGUUCUGGAAUUGAACAGCUCUAAGCUGUUUUAUAGUCGUCAGUUGUGUGUCAAGCUAUACUAAUAAUUGGGUCUCUUAUCAUAUUUCUUCUCAAUUUUUUGUCCGCAAGGUCUUUUAAUUACUUAGAAUUAUUCUUAUAUUUCUGUUAAAAUCUUUGGUUGAAAUGGCUGCAGCGGAUGGUUUACGCACUGAUAAGUUUUUUGAGCCGGAUUCGGAGGGAAAUUAUAGAGCUCCAUUUUUGAGAAGUAUAAUUAAAAGCCAUGGUAGAUGGGGAGUUUCACAUGCUCGGCCCCCUACAGAAUCAAGGCCUGGGCAUGUUGCUAUAAUUGCUGGUUUCUAUGAGGAUCCUAGUGCUGUCACAAAAGGUGGUAACUUUAUCAUCCUGUACCAUGUUAAUGAAUGAGUCAUUAUAAAUCUUCAAAUUCUUGUUCCUUUUUCAUCAACUAUAUUGCUUUAUACUGCAUGAUUGCUGAUGUUGCACCCAUCUGCUAAAGAGGUAUUUUUGCAUUUACAGGAUGGAAAGCUAAUCCAGUUGAAUUUGAUUCCGUUUUUAACCGAAGUAGGCACACAUUUUCUUAUGGAAGCCCAGAUAUUGUCCCAAUAUUCUGUGGUGCCUUGCCACACAGCACAUGGAAGAGCUACCCUCAUGAGUUUGAAGACUUUGCAACUGGUUUGUCAUAACCUGUAAUCACAAAUUCUUUUCCGUAGAAAUUUUAUUUCAUUUUUAUUUAUUCAAACAUUAAUAAACUGAUGUAACUGAAAUAAAGAAGAAUUUUAGAAGGACUACUAUAACCUAUCUCAAGUCAUAUGAUAAUAUCAAAGGAACCAAAAAUUUUUAUGUCCUAGUGCCCAGAUUCUAUAUUUCUUACUUUUGUUCAAUGCUUUAUCAGUUGAAUAGUGUUAAUGCAGAUGCUUCCUUUUUGGAUGAGUGGUCUUUUGAUCAAUUUCAGAGCCUUCUGAAUAGGUCCAAUGAAGAUCCAAAAUUGAAGGAGUUACUUCUACAAGAUAAGCUUGUUGUCUUUUUGCAUCUACUUGGCUGUGAUUCAAAUGGUCAUGCUCAUCGGCCCUAUUCAUCUAUCUAUCUCAACAAUGUCAAGGUUGUAGACCACGUAGCAGAACGCGUUUAUGCUCUUCUUGAAGAUUAUUAUAAGGACAAUAGUACAGCAUAUAUAUUUACAGCUGAUCAUGGAAUGAGUGAUAAAGGUUUGUUUCAGAAAAAAUGUGUAUUUCUACCUGAGAAUUCCAUGUGUAUCAUCAUCCAUCAAAUUUUUUUUUUUUGGGUAAUGAGGACAGUAUUCGGGAAAUGAGAAUGAUAAUUAAAUCUAAUUUGAGAAUCAAUAUGACUGGUUGGCCUAAUCUGAAAUUCACCCAAUUGACAACUUAACCACAAAGUAUUUGUUCUACAGGCUUGAAUAUUGAGCAUGAUAAGAAUGCAUCUGUUUUCAAUUCCUUAAAGUAGACUAGUUUACAUGCUUUGCUUAAAUCCAUGUAUGACCUUUGAUAAUGCUGUUCUCUAAGUUCCUCUGAUUUAUAGAGCCUGACAUAUGUUUCUACUCUUAGGUAGUCAUGGAGACGGGCAUCCUUCAAAUACUGAUACUCCUCUUGUUGUUUGGGGAGCAGGUGUCAAAUAUCCCAAGCCAACUUCGAGCGAAAACCACACUGACCAUAGCUUUCGUUUUGUUGAUGAGCAUGCCCAUGAUAUGCCAACACCUUUAGAUUGGGGCCUGAAUGGCAUUGAAAGGGUGGAUGUAAAUCAAGCUGAUAUUGCACCACUAAUGGUCAUAUUUACCCCUAUUAAAUUGUGUGUUUUGAGCCUAAUUUUAUGCUUUGAAGUCUCCUAAAUAGUUGGUGGUAGUUGAUCGUUCUUUUCCCCCCUUUUGCAGUCUACGCUUCUUGGUUUACCAUGUCCUGUUAACUCAGUUGGAAAUUUACCUCUUGGAUAUCUUGAUAUGGUUGAGGUUGGUAUAGCUGACUUCUUUGUGAUAAAUAGCAAUGAAGAUUAUCAUCUGUACUUGCAGCUAUAGUAUUGUGCAGGGAAAGCAUACUGAUAAACAUAUGUCCUGUUAACUCAGUGGCAGCUGGAGGUUUUCUGGAGGGAUAUAUAUCUCUCUUAGUUGGGGGAGAAAAAGUUCAUCCUAUCAUUGCACAAACAUGAUUAUAUAGAAAAUAAAUAUUUGGAUGAUUAUUAACUUAAUUUUACUAUGUAAGAGUUACAAAUAUACUAAUAAUUCCUUUAUGGAAUACAAGAUAGGAAGGCCUUCCUAUGAAUCAAUGUACAUAUUAAUACCAUUUCAGAACGCUAUUGAUACCAUUAAUACCUAGCCAAGAAUAAUCCUGACCAUGAUGGAAAUAACAUUUAUAUAUGAAGUCCCCCUUUGUGUAUGCCAUGGCAUGCAGGAUCAUUUUUGGAAAAUUAUUAAAUUAAUAAACAAGUCUUACUGAAAGAGAAACUGAAUUUCCUAUCCUUUAUCCAGGCAGAAGAAGUUGAAGCCGUGCUAGCCAAUACAAAGCAAAUCCUCAACCAGUUUCUUCGCAAAUCACGUAUCCUUUUCUUUUAUCAAUUUUACAUGUCAUUUAUAUCACACACUUUUUCUUGCAACAGCAUUAUGUGUUCAAUUCCUUUUUGAAAAUCUAAAUUUGUUGCUUGUUUGGAUAUACCAAGUUUGUACGAUCUAUUUGCUUAUGAUGGUGUUACUUUGAGUACUUUAUUUUUCUUUAACUGAAAUUGUUAGCUUUAAUCAAUAUACUGUAUCUACUUCCUUUUGUUCGCCAAAACCUGUUAUUCAUUUAUCCACUGUAUAAUCUUAUUAGAGUUUGUGUUGCCCAUAAUAUCUUCAAAAUGUGUCAUCUUCGAUGCUCGUGAAGGAUGUGACUAAGCUUUCUGCUUUCAUUGGUUUUCUUGACAAACUUAGAAAUAAAACACUCAAACUCGUUAUAUUUCAAGCCUUUUAAACCACUGGCUGAAUAUUCCUAUAUGUUGGAACGCAUUGAGGAUCUGAUAUCUGCAAGAGACUAUCAAACUGCAAUGAUCCUGACCCAAAAGCUCAGAAGCUUGGCACUGCAAGGCCUUCAUUACUUUCAAACAUAUGAUUGGCUGAUGCUGAUGACAGUUGUUACUCUUGGGUACCUUGGUUGGAUGGUCUAUCUCAUUCUCCAUGUGCUGCAAUCUUAUACUUCACUGGCAGAGAACAUACUUAAGGAGCAAGCUGCCCCGUGGAAAAAUAAAACUGGAAAAGUAAUUUCUAAGUAAGCUUAACCUUUUAUAUAAGGUGUAUUUAUAUCAUUAUGAAAAGGUUAAAGGAUGAAGGGAAAUAAAAAAGAAAAGAGAAUCAUGUGCAAAUUUAUCAUGUUAAAGAUAAGCAUUUCUGGUUCCAUAGCUUGCUUUUAUGUUCAGUUUCAUUUAAUUUAGAACGUGAUGCAGUGGAUUUUGCAGUUAAUGCUGUCUUUUAAUUGAUACUACAAAGUUGCCCAAUCAAAUGAAGUUUAUAUAGGUUACAUUUUCUUUCCACAUCCAGAAUUUGAUGACUCUUGAACUUUCCAAGACUCAUGCUCCUAGUCACUUUAACUUCUGUUCCCUGUAGAUUGUGCUAGCUGAAAAAUAUUAUUUUUGAUGGGCAAGCACUCAGCUGAGAAGCAAUGUGAAAGUUAUUCUUUUGUGACUAACAUCUAGCAAGAGACAAGUACAAAAUAAUGUACAAAACUUCAGAGGAAUGAGGAAAUGCCAUCAGUAGUUAAAUAACUUUCAAUUGCAAAUUAUGUGCCACUCAUGAUACUUUCUUUUCCUUUAUCUUUAUAACCAUUUUCCUAACUGUAGAUAUUCUAAAUUUUAUAUAUUCUUUUUGCUUAUUAAGUUCUCAUUCCAAUAAAUAUUAUUGUCAUAUAACAGUAUGAUCUUCAUCUUAGUUGUCACGUAGCAGUAUGGUCUGCACCUUAAAAUCUUCUAGUGAUAAACAGGGAGAAAGCCAGAAAUCUUUAUCAAGGAGGGGGGCAAAAAUAGUUCUCAUGCAAAGCAUCUGCACACUUGCAAACACAAACAACAUGCAUAUAUUAAUAUUAAUUUUAUGAACAUGGAAAAUAAAGUCAUUGAUGCGUGUGUUUGUGUGUGUGUGAAAUAUAUUAAUAUUUGGGCUUUGAAAAAAAAAAAAUUUCUUAAUUUUUCAUAAUUAUCUACAAAAUUUUGCAAUUCUUAAGAUAAAAUUUGUUGAAUGGAACAAAUUAAGUAUUUAUUUUGUAAUAAAAAUGAUAAAUUAAUUAUUGAAGCAAUCCAAUCCCUAAUUUACAUUUUUUUUAUUUUGUUUUUCAUUUUUAAAUUUUUCACACAAUAAAACUAACCGGUCAAAUUAGUUAAGUGGGAGUUUAAUUUUUAAAAUUAUAGUGCUACUUCUUCAAUUUGGCAAAAAGUAAGGAGGCAAGUCUUUUUUUUUUAAAUUGUAGAUGUAGUACUUUGUAACUUUGCCAAAAGGUAAGGGGGGCACAUUAAGUGAUGAUUGGUUUUUUACAAAUUAAGUCAUGUUGAUCUUUGCUAUGUGGUUGUUCUGUUUUUUGAAACUUGCAUUGUGUAUCUGAUAUAGCUUGUUGUCUUUGCCUCUUUCGCAGGUGUAUGUGUUUGGAUGCCUAUUAAUGGGAGUAGUUUCUAUUAUAUUAUAUAUGGAGCACUCUCCUCCUCUGUACCAUGCAUAUGUUGCAAUGACAAUGUUUCUUUGGACCCAGAUACUCGGUGAAUAUCGGUUUGUAAAGGCAUUGUGGAAAAAUUUAAGUGGGAGAAAUUUUGAUCAUGCAAUUAAACUUUUAGCCACCUGUGCUGUAUCAAUUUUAAUCCUUGAAUUCCUGGUAUAGAAAUUAAACAUGCUACUGUUUUAUUGUGAUUUUAAGUGAGCUCAUUUGUUGAUUUAUCAUUAUUAGUGAUGCUCUUUCUAUUUUGUGCAGGUGAAUAGCUUCACAGAGAGGAAGCUCUACACUUGGUGCUUCUUAAUUUCAGGAACCAUAGCUUCUCUUUAUCUUUUCAAAUCAAUUCCAUGGAGAUCUCCAAUACCAAUUUUUGUUUGCAUUGCUUGUUGGUGUCUAUCUGUUUUUACUUUGAUGCCAGCGGAAAUUCCAGACAACAAUGAACUAGUGUAAGUCACUUUUGCACUCUUUUGAUUUACUAGGUCAAUAUAAUAUAGAGGCAUAAUUUGAUUAAAAUACUGUGGAAGUGGGAGUUGUUGUUAGGAUGAUGUAAAAUGCUUACUAUCUGAUCCCUUCCUCCUAUCUCGAUCACUACAUUGAUAAUAUGUGAAUCUUAAACUACAAGUCCACCACACAUUUGCCAAUGGUCUUUGGUCCACUGAUACUAGAGUUGUCCAGGGCUGAAAGGUUAUAAAUUCGAGCAGUAGUUGGGUUCUUAUAGACGAUAGCUUUAUUGGCAAAAAAGUUUUGAGAUCCUAUACUGGCAUUGAUCCUGUGGUCCCCGAAACUCUGCUAUGAUAAGGUAUCUUGAUAACGUUAAGCUAUCACUAAAAGAGAAAAUCUUUAGUAAAACUACUUUUGCCGAAUAAUAAGGUUACUUUUCAGCUAAAGAAAUUUUUUUGCGGAGCACAAUCUGAAUUAGCUGCCAAAAUAGGUAAUCCAUACAUCAUGUUUUGUCAGUUGUGGUCUUCCUGAAAUCUAAUUCUGGAACUUUGAAGCUCUUAAGUAAUCCAACAACAAUGUUGGUUUGACUACUUUUGUCCAUUAGUUGCUAUUUCUUUCAUGGCGAUUGAACUUUUUAGAUGACUGUUCAAAAUUGUGUUUCUAGAAUUGCAAGUGGAGCUAUUAUUGUCACAAUUGGAGCAGCUGCUAGAUGGCUAGAUCAGCAUUCUGAAGGGAAUAAGUAUUGGUCAAGUCUGUGUUGUCAUGAAACAAAGAAACCCAGGCUCCCCAUGCUUUUUCAUGCACAGGUAUGGCUUGUCUUUAACUUCUGUUAAUUAGAAGAUUUUAUAGUUUCUCAACAAAUCUAGAAGUAAAUUCAUUCUUUUGCAUCAAAACUAGGCUCUGUUGGUUGGAUUAUCAUCAAUCAUGGUGUCAUUAUCAACAUCUCACAGAACAGAGAAGCAAGAGCUGCAUGCAUUACACCAGUUAAUAAAUUGGUCUCUGGCUGGUAAUGCUUUAACACUUCCAUCUUUCGCCCUUAUAAAUGCUAUAAGUGGCUUUUGUUUGUGCAGUCUGGGUUAAAUAUCAGCUUAUACAUUACAUAAUGGCUGUUAUGUAUCGGAUUUUCAGCCUACCAAUAUGAUAUUUCCCAUUAUGCAGGUUAUUGGAAAUCACAUAUACUUUUUAAAUAAAUUUUUGUAAUAAAUUAUUUCUUUGACCAUAAAUUAUCGAAUAAUUCAUUUAAUAUCUAUUUGAGUUUUGCUAAAUUUGAAAAAAUUAUUCAUGAUAGUGGCAGCUGACAGUCCAAUUCAAUCUUUUUCCAUUAAGUAUUUUCUGAUUCCGUCAUUUAAAACCUCAGUACAAACCCAAAAAUGUUGUGUGAAACUUUUGUCUUGUAUCAUUUUAACAAAUACUAUCAUUCCUUCCUACAGCUGAAUCUUAAUAACAAAUGUAUGUAAUGAUAUCAUUAUCUAAGAAUUUUUUAUUUUUAUUGUUUAUUUUUCACUUCCUUAUAAAGACAUAUGGUGGUGCACUGGCUAACUUUUAUUUUUCACUAUCAAUCAGAUCCUAUGUGCGGUCUUUAUGUGUCAAUUUGAGCUUGUAGAUAGAAGCUUUCUGGCUUGGUGGGAAGACGGGUUUGUUAAGACACUCUUUAUGAAUACAGAAAGCAUAAAAAUUUAAAUGGCAAGUAAAAUCAAGGAAGAAAGAGGGGAUGGUGGUAUUGAAAUUUUAAACUCAGAAAAACCUUAAUGGAAGAGGGUUUAUUAACUUACAAAAUUUGCAUAUUUUAGAAUAUUUCUAGCAUUCAUUUAGCUUAUGGUCUGCAUUAGCUGGCAGCAAGAAUAGACCAAAUGGCUGCACCUCCUAACUUGUUUGUGGGUUUGAUGAAAGAGUUGCACUUCUUUCCUUUGACAUGCUAGGUUUUGGGUGUUGAUCCCACAACAGCCUCCUGCCAGACCAAGCAUGUUUUUUUGAAGAGUUCUUUAGUUUUACUUAUCCAUUUUCCUUUCUUUUAGCUUUUAUAAAUGCUAUGAUAUCAUACUUCACGAAUUUAAUUUGAAUGGCAUUUCAUUUGUUGAUUAACACUCACUUAUAAUUGUAUUGUUAUAGGUUUCUCAAUGGUUCUCCCGCUUUUCUCAGAAAAUGGCCUAUUGUCACGACUCACUUCUAUUUUUCUUGGUUUUGCACCAACAUUCCUGCUUUUAUCUAUUGGGUAUUUAUGAUUUCAAAGCUAAUGCUUGUUUUACACUUUCAUGGGUGUGCACAAUGGUAAGAUAUGCUUAUGCCUUUUGCCUCCCCUUUUUUUCUGCCUUGUGAAAUACAUGCAGAUAUGAAGCUGUCUUCUAUGGUGCACUUGCUCUUGUACUUAUGGCAUGGAUACUAUUUGAGAACACACUUCUUCACUUAACGAAGGUGAAAAAAUCAUCAUACAUUAGAAACAUGGAUGAACAUGCUACAUUGGAAAAUGAUAGAUGCUUGGAACUUUCUGAUGUGAGAAUUCCAUUAAUUUUUGUAAGUCUUAAUACUUGCUUCUUAUUUUUCUCUUUCUAUUUCUUCACAUUAUUUGGUUAAACAAAUAACUGCAUGAAUGCACUGACUUUCUUGUUGUGUUAGAAUCUUCCAUCGGCACAAGAAAGCAAAUAUUUACUUUGAUACAUCCUCGUCGUCUUCUUGAUAUUCUGUUCACUGACGAAAUAUGGAUUUGAUGACUCGUUUUUUCAGAUGGUUUUGUUUAAUGUUGCUUUCUUUGGGACGGGAAAUUUUGCAAGUAUUGCAAGCUUUGAGAUAUCAUCUGUCUAUCGGUUCAUCACUGUCUUCAGUGUAAGUGAAGAUGACACUUGAGAGAUUCAAAUGGUUUUAGUUUUGAGAUCUGAUAACUGAUAUUAUCUGAUUUGAAUUGCAGCCUUUUCUGAUGGCAGCCCUUCUUAUUUUCAAGUUAUUCAUACCAUUCAUGCUUGUCAUGUAAGUAAUUUUUUAUGCUACACCUGUUCACUGGAUAAUUUUGGAAACAAAAGGGGCCUCUUUGGAAAAUCAAUUUCUAAUUUGUAAUAUCUUGUGUUAAAAUAGCAAGGAUUCAAUGGCAUAAUCUUGGUAAUUAUUUAGUUUGGUUUGACCUCCAAUGGGUAUAGUACUAAUUAGCAGGUUUUAUAGAAAUAGCUACACAGCUAUGAUAUUGGUCCACAUUUUCUUUUAGUUUUUAUCAGUUAAAAUCAACCUUUCAAGUUGGUCUUCUACUCCUUUCCUUUUCUUUUCUUCUGAUAAAUGAUUUAAUCUUCCAUUCAUUUAAAAGACAUAAGACACAAAACGUCCAAAACUCAUGAAAGAAUGAAGGUUUACAAAGAGAAAGAUUUAGACGCUCAAGGAGUUUGGAGCAACAGAAAUAUUAUUGACAAGCAUAAACUGUCAGUUGUAAGACAAUAUUUGAUUAGAAGUGGUUUAUCUAAUGUUGAAGGCCCAUUUUGACAUUAAAGGCUUCAUUUUAUAGUAGCUCAUCUGAGCUAUAUAUCUUGCAACCUAUUAUGCAAUCCCAUAGUUCACUCGUUUCUUUUCCCUGAGAAAACUAUGCUUUUACUGUAUGUGGAAACUUUUCCUUUUGUCCCUCUCUCGUUACAAUUGCUUAAGCUAUUCAAGAAAUUAAGUUUUCUCUAUGAGGAAUCUAAAGAUAAAGUUGUAGGUAUUGUUUGGCAGGAGACUGAAAAAAUGGAAAAUUGUUAUAUGGUUGAUUGAAUCAUAGGAAAGUAAUGGAAGGAGACAGAGUGUAAUGGAAUUAUGCUUUAAAACUUGAAAAGCAAAAUAUGGAUGGCAUUUUAGAAAGGAAGAACAAAGUUUUCUCAAAUGCCCUCUCAGUUAUAUUUAGCCAAUCAAUUUUGAUUCUAGGCAACAAGAUUUUGCAUGUGAAAAUCUUUCUAUGAAUAGAUGUUGCAACUCAAAAUUUAUGCCCAUUUCCAAGUGAAAUAAUUACAAUUUUUCUUAUUCAGUAAAAUAUGCUCUAUGGUUUUGUUGACUGAAGCAUAUUGAUUGCCUUUAUUAUUAUUUUGUCUUCAUUCCCGUAAUAUCUCUGUCACUCUGAGCAUCCAAUUAACCACCUGCGGCUGAUGAGCUACUUGCUAAUAGAAUGUUUUGCUCUUUGGAGUUUUUGAAAUCUGAAAAUUUGGUUGAUUUCCUUUCAAAUGUACCUAACCACUAAGGUAAGGUGUGGCAUUUUCAGGUGGGAAACAGUCUUUUUAAUUUGUUUGUGCAGCCUAACUUUGCAUUUGGAUAAGUUUCUAAUAUGGAGUUGUUUGCUUAUGUGUGCAUCGUACGUAUAUACACACUACUGUUUUUGGUUGAGAUGACAAAUGUCAAUUGGUGCACAAUGCAGAUGUGUUUUCAGUGCAAUAACCAAACUUCUUCGAGUUCCACGGUUGGGAUGUUAUUUUCUGGUUAUAUUAUUUUCAGACGUGAUGACUAUUCACUUCUUCUUCCUGGUAUGAUUUCUGCUCACUCUGGCAGUCUUUUUGAUCUAAUUAUUUCUAGUCUGGUUGAUUUGCAUCAUACUUGUCAAGUUACUUGGCAGCAACUUGUUUAAAGUACAUGAACUAUAUGUUAUGUAUGCAUAUACUUAUGGAUGGGUGUCUCGCUUGUUGGGAUGGGGACAUAUUCAUGUUAACAAGGACUUAGUUCCUCAACAAUUUAAUCUCUGACUACAUGAUUUUGCUUUUCGACUGUUCAACUAUAUAUGCAUACCUGAGCUUGAUUUCAAGCUGCAUGUUAUUUGCAUACUCAGAAAGUGAAACUCCAGAUUUUUAUUAUUUUAGGCUAUAUGUCGAUCGCCAAGCAUUGCGCUCCAAACUUUUGCCGAUAAACACUUCACUUAAACUUUCUUUGCUGUCAAGACUUUGAGAAGAGAGUCAACUAAAAUCAUUCUUAUUGAUUUAGAGAAUAUGAAAACACCAUUACCAUUUUUUCAUUCUUGAAAACUUACUGACUUUGUAUUCCUGAUGACAGGUUCGAAACACGGGAAGCUGGAUGGAAAUCGGUAACAGCAUCAGCCAUUUUGGAAUUAUGAGUGCUCAAGUUGUAUUUGUGCUAUUACUUUUUGCCCUCACAAAUGUAUACACAAAAGACAUCCAAAUUAGGUCAGACAGCUCAUCCUCUAGGAAAGCAGUGUAAGUCACCUUGAAAUUAUAAAUUUUGGACAUCACAAUUGACGAUAGGUGACCUUUUCCAUUCUUACAGUAAAGAUUAAGAGCUGCAAGCUGCAUAACAAUCGAUUCUUUUUAACCCCUACUUCCUGUGUCAUUAUUGUCUCUCUCUCUCUCUCUCUCUCUCUCUCUCUCUCUCUCUCUAUAUAUAUAUAUAUAUAUAUAUAUGUAAAAUUUUUUUCCAGGGUUACGAAAUGUGGAAAUUGGUUCAUAAUACUUGUCAUAUUUGAGAAAGUAGUUUAUUCUAAAAUACUUGUCAAAUUUAUAGUUUCAAGGAGUAAUAAUUUUUUUUUUUUUUCUCUUUGUAUAUGACCAAUAAUUAUUAUUUUAUCUUAAUGGUUUUCAUAGAGAAUUAGUAUUAAAUUAAGAGUAAUAUAGUGAAUUUAAUCGAUAAUUUGUAAUUUAAACAAAUUUUAUAGUUUACUUAAAAAAUUUGAAAUUCCAAAUAUAAUAAGUAUUAUGAAAUAGAGGUAGUAGUUACUUAUUUUUUGUAUUUAUUGGAAUAUUGAGCUGCAGUUAAUUCUUGCAUUAAGCAUCUGUUGGGCAACUAUCAUGUUAAAAUACUAUUUAUUUUUGAAGAGGACUUAAUUUAGUUUUUAGAGUUAGAAGAAAUGAAUGUCGGAACUAUUAGUUAUUAAAAUAGCUAAUAACUAUAAAAAUAACUAAUUUCGCCGAAUUAAUUAGUUCUAGAUAAACCAAAACGUUAUUAACUUAUAAUCAUGACUUGCUUGAUCAAAAAAUGUGGAAAGCAAUGCAAGUCUGGCAACAUUGUUGAGAAAAGAACUAAACGACAAUUAAUUACUAGUCAAUGAACAGUCAACAAUAAGAGAAAAUAACUAAAUGACAAUUAAUUACUAAUCACUGAACAAUCAACAUUGUUCAGAAACAUCCCAGAAAUAUCCACGGUGGUCAAGGUCUAGGUCUUCUGUUCUUCUACCAUGCACUCACGAGGAAGCAGCUUCUUCUUGUACCAAUUUACCCAUACAACUUUCCUUUAAAGAAAAAAAAAGAAAAAAAAUUCAAACACAAAACCCAACUUUAUAAUAAAUUUUAAUCUAAUUUCUUAAUAUUUUCUCUCUCUGAUUAUGAGCAUUCACAAUAUUAUUUGGAAAUUAAAUUUCGCCAAAGUUACUUUUGCAUUCUUACUCUUUAGUCCUUUUUAAAGUAACUCCUUUAAUUACUAAAAUAUUAUGAAUAGGCUUAAUAUGUUAAUUCAAACAUGUCACACAUAAAUGAGGAAAAAUUCAUUGUUGGUUACUCAUACAUGAAUUUAUAACUUUCACAAGCAAAAAAUCUAUUCCCAAAUGCAUAAAUUCAUAUCUAAAUUUGUAAUUUUAAAUCUUAUGUCACCCUAAAUUUUAUUGAUAAUCUAUUGUAUAUUUAAACAGGUAAAUUUUGAUAAUAUUACACAUAUUUUCAUACUAAUAAUAAUAUUAAUAAUUUUUAGAAUUUUUUAUUUUUAUAUAUAAAAUAUUGAUUUGAUACGUAGUUAGCAUAACUAUAGACACAAUAAAUUUCACAUUUUUAAUUAUUUAAUUGAUUUAAUUUUUCAAAUUAAAUUGUUUAAUUCGAUAUUUAUAAUUUUAUAAAUUGAAGUGUAUGAACGGAAAUUCCCACGUUACAGUCUAUAUAUAUAUAUAUAUAUAUCUAUANNNNNNNNNNNNNNNNNNNNNNNNNNNNNNNNNNNNNNNNNNNNNNNNNNNNNNNNNNNNNNNNNNNNNNNNNNNNNNNNNNNNNNNNNNNNNNNNNNNNNNNNNNNNNNNNNNNNNNNNNNNNNNNNNNNNNNNNNNNNNNNUAUAUAUAUAUAUAUAUAUUGACCUGCACGUUGACUUAGUCUCCUAUAAAUUACUGCUGAGUUUGGAAAUGCAUUUCAAUCUCGUUGUCAAGCAGACCUCAACCAAAGAAAUGAACCAACUUUCGUCGUAUGUACAACGUUCUCAUCUUUACUUGUUUUAAGCAAUAAUUAUUCUUUGCUUCUUUUAACCAACAAUUACAGAAAGACAAGAAUUCAUCACUUUAUUACUUCUUAAAGUUUAAGUUCUUUUUCUUUUUUUUCUUGUGUUGUUGUUUGCAGAUUUACCGGUGGAUUAGAACUGGGAAAUUUAGUGGUUGGUUCUAAUUUACUCUGUUUUUCGUGGGCUGCAAUCUCUGCUCUUCAAGCUGAACUGAACCAGUAUCAAGAUCAGCAGUCUUUAUCUCUGAGAUGCAGAGUUUAUAAACGAGCAAAUUAUACCAUUGUUGCUUUGAUAACUUCACCUUCUUGUACGAUUCAUCAUCUUCACCAGCUAGGGGGAGAUUUGGUUUCAUCUGAAACUCUUAAGGAAAAUAACUUUACUCUGUUUGAAUUUUUAUGUUCUAAAGGAAACCCAUCAUUCUCAAUUCAUAGAGCAGCAAUUACCCUCUUUUACCAAUAUUUAAGUGAUCUCUCUCAACUGAAAGAUCAGGUACCUUCUGUUUUUAUACUCGCUAAGUUUGUUUAAUUGGUCAAGCUCAUUCUUAAUAAAUAUCAAUGUUUUAAAUAUUAUUUGAAGUUUAAGAGGAGGCUGAUUAGAGAUUUUUGAUUGUGUGUGUGCGUGUAUUAUGUAAAUUAGUUGGAAGAUUGAUUACUGACUUGUUCUCAUUUUAUUUUCUUUUCUCGAGUGAAUGAUAUGUUAGUUGCUCUUUCUCUAGAAACAUCAAAUGACUGAAUACAAAACCGGUUAAUUAGAGAUUUUUGGUACAUGGGUUUUUUUGAAUGAAUUGCUAUCAAGAAAAACACCAUAUUAGAAAUGUUAAUUCAGUCCUUAAAAUUUGUUUUUUGGGGUAAAUUUCACUCAUUUUAAUCAUAGAAGCUUCAAGAUAGCUAAAAACAAAACACUUCCAAACUACUUCUCCAGCAACAUUAAAAAUUGAGUUUUUCUAAAAGAUCAAAUUCAACUCCAAUUCCAAAGAGACUAUAUAUGUUGUCUUAGUUGAAAGAUUGGUCAAUGACUUGUUCUCAUUUAGUUGUUCUUUUCUUGUGUUUAUGAUUUGUUAGUUAGUCGAUUCAACCACUGGUCAAUUAUUAACAGACACUCCAUUGAUUAUUACUGGAAACUCUUUGGGUGGAUCAAUAGCUUCUUUGUUUAACUUAUGGCUGCUAGAAAGUAUCGAUCGAUCUUCCACCAGGCGUCCUCUAUGCGUCACAUUUGGUUCACCUUUGAUUGGCAACUUAGGCCUUCAAGGAGCCAUUUUAGAGCGACCUACAUGGAAUUCUUGCUUCUUUAAUGUGGCUGCCAAUCAAGACCCAGUUCCAAGCCUAUUUGUCCCAUCAAUCUCUCCUCAACCUUUAGCCUCAACUCCACAAACUGUUCUUUAUAGGCCUUUUGGUCCAUUUCUCUUAUGUUCUGAAUCAGGAUGUACUUGUGUUGAUGACCCUGAAGUAGUUUCUCAUUUAUUAGAAGUAAUGGGUUUGGAAAGUAGAAGAAGUCAAGUUUCUGCUGAAUAUGGAGCAUUAGUGGAGAAUCUAAAAGAAAGAUUUAUCUUGAGAGGAAGUUCAUUGCUUGGUAUAUCGGGCAUGGAUGCAGGCAUAUUUCUACAGCUAGAAGCAAUUGGAGAUAAAAGGAUCCAGGUAACUGAAUCUUGCCCUAAUAAGCUAUGCUUUUUACAUAUUUUGUGAAUAGAACCGAAGAAUGACUUUAACACACUAUUAACUUACCAGAAGUUUCUUACUUACUGUUAAAGGAGCGCAUAUAGAAAUGAUAUUUAUGACUUUCUGCUAAUGCCAAAGGGCUUGAGAAUUUCUGCUCAAGUAACAAUCUGAUGUCUGUUUUCCCGCCUAUUUCUGCUAUAUGCUUUUGGAUUUUCAGAAAGCUAGAAUUCAAUCCAACUUUUUUUUCUCAUCUUCUUAGCAGCAACAGCAGCACGACAUGGACAUUGCUGACUUGAUUAAAAAAUUGAAACAUAGGGAAAGAAUUUGUGUUUUAACUAAAAGGAAAGGCUUGAAUCGGAGCAGAAAACUAAAUGAUAUAAAGAUAAAAAUGGCCUACCUAGAAUGGUACAAGAAGAGUUGCAACACUAUCCCAAAAAAAAACAAGAAGAGUUUCAAGGCUGACUUAAUAGGUUACUAUGAUAGUUAUAGAGACCUUCUUCAGUGUCAUGACAAAAAGGUUACUAUGUAUAAGAAAUUUCUUACAGCAUAUUGGGAAGACAUGGUGGAAGAAGCCGAGAAAAAGCCUCACAAAGAAGGAUCAUUCUUACUUCUGACCUGGCUUUUUGCCGGAACAAAUUAUAGAAGAAUGGUUGAACCUCUUGAUAUAGCAGAGUACUAUAGAGCUGGCAAAAGAAACUACGAGAGUCAAGGAAGGUCUAAACAUUACAUUCUAUUGGAGAAGUGGGCAAAAGAGGGUGCAGAGAAACCUGCAAGUGCUCCAACGAACAAAAAGAAACAAAAUGUGGCUGGUAUAUUGACAGAGGAUUCUUGCUUCUGGGCAAAGGUGGAGGAAGCUCUUAUUUCAAGUGAAUUGUUGAAAGAUGCAACAUCCAGUGUAAUAGACAAACAGUCAUCAAGAGAGUACCUAAUUAACUUUGAGGCUUAUCUAAUGGAACAAAUCAAGAACUAUGCAGUAUCUCCAGAGAUUUUCUUGCAAAAAAGCACUUUUAUGAAAUGGUGGAGUGGGUUUCAGGAAAUUGCCUCUAAUGCUUUACUCAUUGACUUUAUGAAGAAUUGCAGAUAUGUCCAAUAUGAGAAAGGAUGCUUUUAGCUCUCACGCUGAACCUAGAGUCCUAGAUUGUACUUGGUUGAUCAAAAUAAAUAUGGGUGUUUAAUCUCAGAAUUGAGUGAUAUGAAAUGUCUAUGUGAUGAUCUCUCUUUCCUUUCCUCUUUAUCUAUUCAAUCUGUUUUUUAAAUUUUAUACCUUUACCAUUUAAUUUUUUGGCAACCAUCAUUCAAAGAGAUGAAGUUUUAGGAGAGUUUGAAAUAGUGAAGCUUAAUUGUUCUAGGCUUCUAGCAAUAGUGAAGCAUUGAUCGCUUCGCUUGUGCAGCUGCUAAACAUAAUUCAUUUCCCAUCUCCACAGAGUCGGUAACAAGUUGCUAUGUGAAGUUAAAAAUUUUAAUAAUCCUUCCUCUUGUUGAAGAAAUGGUUCCAAUGAGUUAUCUUGUUCAAGAAAGGUGAAAUCAAGGAUUCGUCUAUGAUUGGAUAUUACAGGCUUUUUAUCAUGUUGUGACGUGGUUUGUACUUGUGUUUUUAAAGAUUCUUGCUAGGAAGAUCAAGUAGUUUUUGUGUCCUUUCACUUUACUGUUAGUGAUCAAACAGCUUCUGUAAAAAGAGUAGAGCAGAAAAUGUUUGUACUGUUACAGGGUCAAGUUCUGCAGAUGCAUUAUCAAGAAACUCAAAGGUGAAUUCAUGAUAAAAGCCUAAGAUUCAGUUGCUUAGGAUUCUUCAAGAUUUUGGAAACUAAUGGUAUUUGAUAUAAUGAAAUUUGCAAACAAGAAUUAACAGAAUUUGAGAGAGUUUACGGAAUAAAUGAGUACUUUUUUUAAAAAAAAUUUGUUAGAGCCUUUUAUCUGCAGAAAUAAUACUGCGGGCUAUACAAUAUAUAUAACGGACAACCAUUACUUGACUGAACAUAAUAAAACUACUACCUCUCACUCCUAAAGUAAAUAAAAAAAUCAAUCAAACCAUUACCUAAUUAGCAUAAUAAAUGAGUACUUCCACUGAGCAUUAAUUAUUUUUUAAAUGGUCAAGUAUCAGUCUGUCAAUACUCAGUAAUAUUACCAUCAGUAUCCAUAUUUUACUUUGGUAUAUUGGAAGAAACCCGUUGAAAGAAAUGGGAGAGUUUAGCUGUUCACCUACUACUCUGUGAAACUGAAACAAGUGCUCAAUGACAUGGCAAUAGUUCAAUUUAUCUCUCAAUUAGGUUAUUUUAAAUUUGUCCAUAUUCAAUUCCUCAAACAAAAAAAAAAAAAAAAAAAAAUUGUCCAUAUUAAAUAUAUAUAUAUAUAUAAUAAAUAAUAUAUUUUUUCAUUUUUUGUAAUUUUGCUGUAUGGAACUUUUUCCAUGUAACGUAAGAUGUAUUUUGUCCUUUUAAUCCUAUUAAAAUGAAUCAAUACAAUAUUGAGUUGGAAUUUGGCUGGAUUUGAUUGGUUGGUUGUCGUUUUGCUUCUUUAUAUAUAUAUAUAUAUAUAUAUAUAUUAAUAAUCACUCUCUAUUCCAUUGUUGAGAUCCUCUGUGCAACACACUUCCUAUUCUACCUGCACUACAACUAUCAUCUCCUUCACUUUUCUCUCUUAAUUUUUCUUCCGAAAAUAUUUUCAUUAACUAACUAAAACAUGGACUCUACAUAUUUACAAGUCUAAGAAAAAGCUCAAUUUCCAAUUAAUUAAUUAAUCAAAGCCCAUAAAAAUAAUAACAAGCCCAAUUUUCAAUUAAUUAGUCAAAGCCCAUAAAAAUCAUUUUAUGGGUUUAACACCAAAUUUUAGUAUUUUGAAAGUUACUAUAAACGUGGAAUACAUUGUUUAACUCUCGAAUUUUGAUAAAAAAAUAUUGAGACACUUUAAAUUUUAAAAUCGACCUUCUGAAAUUCACAUUGUCACCUUUUAUAAUAAUUUUUACACCACUUUCCACUAGUAACAAUAAUUUUAAAAUUUUUUACUUUUAUAUGCAAAAUAUUAAUUUGAUCUUUGAUUUAUAUAUCUCUUGAAAUAAUAAUUUUUAUAUUUUUAACUAUAUUAAGCAUGUUAAUCAAUAUAAUUUUAUAAAAUUAAAGUGUAUAAUAAAUAUAAUUCAAUAAGCUAAAAUAUUUAACAUGUCAAAAUAAAAUUUAAAAGUAUGAUAAAACUUUUCAUAACAAGUGUAGAAUGUAUUGAGCUAGAUUUAAAGACAGGGAAUCCACAAAUAAUUUGAAUUAAGUAAAAAUAUGGACACCAAACUAUUGAAGAUUUGCAAAAGAAUAAAAUAUUGCAUAAAAUAUGUUAGUCAGUAUCCUGUUUCAAAAUUUAAAUCGUUUAAUGUUUUUACAUAAAAAUCGAUAAAGCAAUUAUUCUUUAAAUUACAAUAAAAUCAAUAGUAAUUAGAUCAAAUUACUUUUUAUUUCAAAAUUAAUAUUAUAUCUAAUAUAAAUAAAGAUAAAAUUGAAAAAAAAAAUAUUAUUAAUUAAAAUAUUUAAAAUUACUUAUAUUUUAAGAUAAAAAAAAAAGAAUAUUUUUGUCAAAGAGACAGAGAACUAGAAAGGAUAGACAUCAAUCAUCCACAGAAGAAGCUACGAAAAUUAUGAUAUGAGCUCACAAAUCACAACUAAGAAACAGGCAAAUGUGGACCAUAGUUUGGCAAAAUUGUAGCUGUGAAUAAGCUGUAACCAAAAUGAGCUGUUUAAGUUAAAUUUUGGCUAUAAAGUAUAAACUAACCACAUGCUUUUUUUCAAAAGGUGGGACCACUCUUGCACAUGCAAAUGUCCACCUCAUUGAUCAUCUUUUUUUUUCUUUGAUUUUCCCAAUGCCUUCGUUUUUUUCCUAUAGGGAUUUUCCUUUUUCACCUUCUGCUGCUGCUACGGUACAAGCAGUAGAAGUAGAAGACAAUAUCUUUUUGUUUCAGUAAUAGUUUAUAUAAACAGGACAAGGGCAAUGAAUUUUGAAAGGACACUUUUUAUGAGCUCCAAAUCAAGGGUAUGAUUGAACAAGUCAAGUCAAUUUUGUGCUCCAUGUGUGAGUUAAGAGUGAGCAUUUGCAUUGAGUUAAACCGAACCGGAAAAACUAAAUUUCUAAAAUAAUAAUCAAAAAAAGAAUAAGUAUAUUUUUAAUGGUGGUUCAACAAAAACCACAGAGCAUUCGGCUACUUUAUGGUAUGGAAAAGGAACCUGACCUAACAAAAGAUAAUUUGGUUUUUUUUUUUUUAUUAUUAAAAAUGAACCAAAUUAAUUAAAGGUUUGAGAUAAUUUAUAUCAUUUGACUCUAUGACGUCAUUCUCGCUCGAGGGCGCCCUUGAGAAAAAUCCGUCACCAAUUCAACCAAAAAGUAAAGUUCAAAGAGAAUAAUGGUGAGGAUAUUGUUGUUAGCAGUGGGGAUCAAGGUCCACCACCUAAAUUAUCCUUUAAGGAUUGUCUGUUAAUGGAACCUAGCGUGAGUGUGGAAUCUAGGGCAAGCUUAAACCCGCACUUUGAGAAUACUGAAAGUGUAACAUCCCUUCCCAGUCCACCCGUUAACUCAAAUGAACCGAGCCAAGACGCUACAAUCUGGUUGACCCUAUGUCCUUUCAUGCUAAUAUCAUUCUGUGUGCUGAAUUCGGCCCGACUUGACUCGACUCUAUGCAACGACUCAAUUCAGUAGGAUGUCACAGAAUGUGAUAGUGACGCGGACAAGGACAUGGCGAAUGGGGAUGAUACUUCGAGUAUUAAUAGUCAGGAGGAGGAAGGUAGAGCUAGCCAUGAUGAUGUUCCUAACGAUAGCCAGAACACUAGUUGGAGUGUGGAGGAUAUUAGGGUGGAUAGCUUAGGGCCCUUUCUACAGAUUACCCUUUCGGAUGAGGCUAGAGAUCUUAUUUGUAGGACUUGGCGGAAUGCUGUCGUUGUCAAAUUGUUAGGAUGAAAUAUAGGCUAUAAGGGUUUCUACACAAUGAUUCAAGCUUUGUGGAAACCUUUUAGUGGAUAUAAAGUUAUUGACCUAACUAAUAACUUUUUCUUGCUCAACUUUGACAGACCUUCGGAUCUUUAUAUGUCCUCCUAAAUGGGCCGUGGUUGAUUUAUGGCCAUUAUUUGAUUGUACAACCUUGGAGUCCGUAGUUCUGCACCAAAGAUGACACGCUUUCGUCAAUGUGGCUUUGGGUUCGUUUUCCUGACAUGCCAUUACACUAUUAUAACAAAAGGGUCCUAAGAACUAUAGUUGGAUGUGUGGGGAAACUUAUGCAUAUAUACUACAAUACAGAGGAGUUAAAAAGAGGUAAAUUUGAUAGAGUGGCUGUGGAGAUUGAUUUGAAAAAGCCAUUAGUAUCCAAAUUUGAAAUUGAUGGGCAUACUCAAAAGAUAGAAUACAAAUAUUUGCAGAAUAUUUAUUUCACGUGUGGUUGCUUUGGUCACACAAGGGACAAAUGUCCUAAGAUUUUAACUACAGCUCCAAUGGAGGAUGGUAGUAAUGCAUGCAUGCAACCAGUACCUCCUGUUGCAGGUCAUAGGGCUGAUAGUGAAUUAUUUGGGGAAUGGAUGGUGGCUCCAGCCAAGCGUUGGGGAAGAGCUUCCAACAAGGAAAGUGCAAGGCGAUUGGAUCCUAUCAUUGCAGUGCAGAAUAAGGACGAUCUUGGGUUUCGCUUUUAGAUUUUGGCUAACCUUCCGCACGAGGAUAAAGAUGUGCAAGAUAUGGAAGAUAUAAGGAUUCCUAGUGCUAUCAGUCAUGGUAGCAGGCGGGAUUCUAGUCCUACUGUCUCUAGAGUGAUGGACUCUCAAUUGUCUCUGGAUUAGACCAAUCGUGUAAGGGCCAAGCCCAUCAAGGUACCCCGACUAGACAUAAAUAAGAGAAAGGAGAAAGAACAUGGGGGGAUAGCCUAAUGGUUUGAUGUGCAAGCCACUAUAGUCCUGAAGCCUACAUUUGACAAUGAUCCCAUUUAGAAUUCUAAUUGGAUUAAUGUUCCUAUUUCUUUAAAUGAGAAUCAUACUGCUAUAGCCAUCAAGGAUUCCUUGGCCUAUAGUUUACCAGCUAUGGCUAAGGGGAAUAGUCAAGAGCUCUCUUUAGAUCUCCCACUUCGGUCUGAACUUUUUAAUUUUAACAAACGAUCUCCAGAUCCUAGGAAGGGCACAUGAAUGAAGAGCAAAAGGCCUACUUUCAAACGUAAACCUCCCCUUCCUACCCUAGCGGAUUUUGUUCCCUUAGGAGAUGCUAUGAAGAAGAUCUCAGAGAAUUUGCAUAUUGCAGGUCAAGAGGGAGCAGCAUCCAUUGAUGAUACCAUAGAAGAGUUUGAUAAGGAAGCCGAGGAUCAAAGGGUCCCUAAUUCUCAAUAAUUGGUUUUUAUGGAGUUCGAAUUCCUUGUGUGGAAUUGCCAGGGGGUAUCCAGUAAAAGGUUUAGUCGGGUUGUUAAAGAGUUAUUGCCAUGCACAACAUCUCUUUGUUAGUAGUCGUGGAAACCAGGAUUAGUGGUGUUACAGCAGAUAAAGUUAUCUCGAAUUUAGGGUUCCCUUUCUCUCAUAGGGAUAAAGCGUGAGGUUUAUCGAGUGGCAUUUGGGUUUGUGGAAGUCAAGUUUCUGUUCUAGUUACCCAUAAUCAGUUUAUUGACCCUAUGUCCUUUCAUGCUAAUAUCAUUCUGUGUGCUGAAUUCGGCCCGACUUGACUCGACUCUAUGCAACGACUCAAUUCAGUAGGAUGUCACAGAAUGUGAUAGUGACGCGGACAAGGACAUGGCGAAUGGGGAUGAUACUUCGAGUAUUAAUAGUCAGGAGGAGGAAGGUAGAGCUAGCCAUGAUGAUGUUCCUAACGAUAGCCAGAACACUAGUUGGAGUGUGGAGGAUAUUAGGGUGGAUAGCUUAGGGCCCUUUCUACAGAUUACCCUUUCGGAUGAGGCUAGAGAUCUUAUUUGUAGGACUUGGCGGAAUGCUGUCGUUGUCAAAUUGUUAGGAUGAAAUAUAGGCUAUAAGGGUUUCUACACAAUGAUUCAAGCUUUGUGGAAACCUUUUAGUGGAUAUAAAGUUAUUGACCUAACUAAUAACUUUUUCUUGCUCAACUUUGACAGACCUUCGGAUCUUUAUAUGUCCUCCUAAAUGGGCCGUGGUUGAUUUAUGGCCAUUAUUUGAUUGUACAACCUUGGAGUCCGUAGUUCUGCACCACAGAUGACACGCUUUCGUCAAUGGUGGCUUUGGGUUCGUUUUCCUGACAUGCCAUUACACUAUUAUAACAAAAGGGUCCUAAGAACUAUAGUUGGAUGUGUGGGGAAACUUAUGCAUAUAUACUACAAUACAGAGGAGUUAAAAAGAGGUAAAUUUGAUAGAGUGGCUGUGGAGAUUGAUUUGAAAAAGCCAUUAGUAUCCAAAUUUGAAAUUGAUGGGCAUACUCAAAAGAUAGAAUACAAAUAUUUGCAGAAUAUUUAUUUCACGUGUGGUUGCUUUGGUCACACAAGGGACAAAUGUCCUAAGAUUUUAACUACAGCUCCAAUGGAGGAUGGUAGUAAUGCAUGCAUGCAACCAGUACCUCCUGUUGCAGGUCAUAGGGCUGAUAGUGAAUUAUUUGGGGAAUGGAUGGUGGCUCCAGCCAAGCGUUGGGGAAGAGCUUCCAACAAGGAAAGUGCAAGGCGAUUGGAUCCUAUCAUUGCAGUGCAGAAUAAGGACGAUCUUGGGUUUCGCUUUUAGAUUUUGGCUAACCUUCCGCACGAGGAUAAAGAUGUGCAAGAUAUGGAAGAUAUAAGGAUUCCUAGUGCUAUCAGUCAUGGUAGCAGGCGGGAUUCUAGUCCUACUGUCUCUAGAGUGAUGGACUCUCAAUUGUCUCUGGAUUAGACCAAUCGUGUAAGGGCCAAGCCCAUCAAGGUACCCCGACUAGACAUAAAUAAGAGAAAGGAGAAAGAACAUGGGGGGAUAGCCUAAUGGUUUGAUGUGCAAGCCACUAUAGUCCUGAAGCCUACAUUUGACAAUGAUCCCAUUUAGAAUUCUAAUUGGAUUAAUGUUCCUAUUUCUUUAAAUGAGAAUCAUACUGCUAUAGCCAUCAAGGAUUCCUUGGCCUAUAGUUUACCAGCUAUGGCUAAGGGGAAUAGUCAAGAGCUCUCUUUAGAUCUCCCACUUCGGUCUGAACUUUUUAAUUUUAACAAACGAUCUCCAGAUCCUAGGAAGGGCACAUGAAUGAAGAGCAAAAGGCCUACUUUCAAACGUAAACCUCCCCUUCCUACCCUAGCGGAUUUUGUUCCCUUAGGAGAUGCUAUGAAGAAGAUCUCAGAGAAUUUGCAUAUUGCAGGUCAAGAGGGAGCAGCAUCCAUUGAUGAUACCAUAGAAGAGUUUGAUAAGGAAGCCGAGGAUCAAAGGGUCCCUAAUUCUCAAUAAUUGGUUUUUAUGGAGUUCGAAUUCCUUGUGUGGAAUUGCCAGGGGGUAUCCAGUAAAAGGUUUAGUCGGGUUGUUAAAGAGUUAUUGCCAUGCACAACAUCUCUUUGUUAGUAGUCGUGGAAACCAGGAUUAGUGGUGUUACAGCAGAUAAAGUUAUCUCGAAUUUAGGGUUCCCUUUCUCUCAUAGGGAUAAAGCGUGAGGUUUAUCGAGUGGCAUUUGGGUUUGUGGAAGUCAAGUUUCUGUUCUAUUUAACCAUAAGCAGUUUAUCCAUUUGGAGCUUCAGGUGUUGGGGUAUCUUACUUUCUGGUUCACCCUUAUAUAUGGUAGUCCCAACCUUAUCGUUAAACGGGAGCUCUGACAGCAUUUAUUAAAUAUUCAUUCUCGUUGUUCUUGUCCGUGGGCGAUUGCUGGUGAUUUUAACAUUGUCCUUCGACUCAAUGAGAAAUAAGGUACAACUAACGAUACUGCUUUUUGUACUCAUUUCAGAGAUUUAUUUGACAUAACAUGGUUGCAAGAUAUGGAGUACCAUGGCUCGAAGUUCACCUGGAAAAGGGGCUUGGUCUAUGAGCGGCUUGACAUAAUGAUUUGUAACAACUCUUGACUUUCUUCUUUUUCGGGGACUAGUGUUACUCAUCUUCCUAGGGUUAAGUCGGAUCACUCGCCUAUUCUUAUUGGCCUUGGUCGAGAUAUUGGGACAUUCUAUCAUUCUAAGAGUUUUAAGUUUCUUAAUUUAUUGCAAAAUAAGGAGGAUUUUGCUGAUGUGGUACUCAUAACUGGCGAAUAAGGGGAGAUAUUGUGCGGAAUCUUAGUGAUCUUGUGAUGUCUUUGGGCCAGUGGCAUAAAACUUAUGUUGGAAGUAUCCGUAAUAGGAAGAGAUCAUUGUUGGCUCCUAUUGAUGGUAUCCAGCAUGCUUUAGAGAGAAGGCAUAGAGAGAAUUUGGGCGAUCUUGAAUCAUUUAAGGGAGGACCUUGAGCAGCUUUUGACGGAGGAAGAAUUAUAUUAGUGUAAAAAAUCUAGAAGCAAAUGGCUUUCUUAUGGGGAUAGGAAUACAAAGUAUUUUCACGCUAUCACCAUGAAAAGGCGUCGAAGCAAUAGAGUGUUACAUUACAAGGUCCUGAUGGUUUAUGGGUUUUAUGAUCAAAGUGUAAUCUGGGCUUAGGCUUUAGAGCAUUUCGCUAACUUGUAUACAGAGGAUCGAGACUUUUGUUAUCUUGUGAGUUUCUCGAAUUGGUUUUCCCCACUCUCUGUGGAGGACCGAGAGAAUUUGGCCAGUAAUGUCACCAUGGAGGAAGUGCGGCUUGCACGGUUUCAAAUGGACCCUUCUAAAGUUCCGGGUUUUGAUGGCUUCAAUGAUUUCUUUUUCCAAAAAAACUAGACUAUUGUGGGUCACGAUAUCUUCAAAGUUAUGAAUGCAGUCUUUUUUGGGGAGUUUGACUUGGCAGAAUUGAAUAAGACGUUAAUUAUUUUGAUUCCUAAAAUCCAGCAGCCGACUAAUAUUUCUCAAUUCCGUCCCAUUAGUUGGUGCAACACUGCAUUUAAAGUGGUCACCAAAGUUGUUGCUAAUCGCCUUAAACCUCUUAAGACUAAGCUGGUGGGGUCGGAGCAGGUCAGUUUUGUCGCUGGGAGGCACAUAACUGAUAACAUUGUUAUAGCACAAGAAAUUAUUCACUCUAUGAAAGCUAAAAGUUCGGGUAAAAGGUGGAUGGCUAUAGAAGUAGACUUGGAGAAGGCGUAUGACAGGUUGGGAUGGAAGUUCAUUGAGUAUACCCUAUUUGAUAUUGGCUUUCCCAGCGUUAUCAUUCACGUUAUUAUGUAGUGUAUUUCAUCUUCAACCUUAAGCAUUGCUUAGAAUGGAUCGCAGUCUGAGUACUUUAAACUUCUCGUGGUGUGUGACUAGGGGAUCCCCUUUCACCUUAUAUUUUUGUUCUCUGUAUGGAAAGGUUAUCUCAUGAUAUUUAGUCUGCUGCUUUGGAUUGUCAAUGGAAGCCUAUUCGGAUUAGUCGGCAGGGGUCAUCUCUCACUCUUUUUUUUUUUUUUUUGCCGACGACCUUUUCUUAUUUAUUGAAGCCUCAACCACUCAAAUGGAUAUUAUUUUGAAAGUUUGUUCAGAAUUUGCUAUGUCGUCGGGUCAGAAAAUUAAUAUGGAAAAAAAUUUAUUAUAUUUUUCCAAGAAUACUUCUGCUCAGCAUGUUAGGAUAUUAGCUGUCGGUGUAACUUCAAAGUGACAGAUGAUUUAGGGAAGUAUUUAGGAAUUCCAAUUACUUGUGGAAGAUCCAAAGUUACUGCUUUUUCUUUCUUGGUGGAAAAAGUUCAUGCUAAGCUCUCUAGCCGGAAUGCGAGUCAUCUGUCGCUCGCAGGUAGAAUCACUCUUGUGAAAGCGAUUUUUUUAGCUAUCCCUACUCAUGUGAUUCAAACGGUUUCUAUGCCUAUCUCUAUAUGCCGUGAGAUAGAUACAAAUCGUCACUGUCCUUCGUAGGUCAGAAAUUUCAUUAAAAUUUAUUAAAACUUAAAUCAAAUUAUAUCUACAAUGAACAUGAUCAAUUUAAUUAGUCAAUUUGAAGUGAACUCUAGGCAUCUUACAUAGGUAUUUGAUUUUUGAUUGAUUCGAUUUCAAUUUUUACACAAAAUUCAAUUGAAAACAAAGUUAUUAAACAUCAAAAGUAAACUGUGAUGAAAUAAUAAUUAAAAAAUAAUUAUUAAAAUAUAUACAUUCAUGGUGAGGGAGGGUUAAAAUUCAAUUAUGUACACCCAAUUUGCAUUAGAAUUUUUUACCAUUUAAUAUAUAUAUAUUUAUUAUUAAUUAAUGUAAAUUUUAUUUACCAACGCGUUAAAUUUAAGCUAUUUGGAAGGCAUUGGUUUUUUUUUUUUUCUGGCCUCCACUUUCGGUCGACUGUCCCCUUUAUUUUAUUAAGAAUUUUGCUGUGCAUACAAGAUUUUCAAACGCAGAUAACUAAAACAAUAUAGGUCUGAUUUGGACAGCAAUUUGAAUCCAUUGUUUGGUAUUUGAGCUCUCAAAUCUCAAUCAUUAGUUUAAGACAUUUUUAUUAAACUUAAUAUUUAAAGCAUUAUUUAAAACUUAAAAAUUAUUUAAAGAUUAAAAUUUCAAUAUUAAAUUCUUAAUUUUAACUCAAUAAUUACGUUACUUUUUUUGAGAAAAUUAAUUUUUCUUUAUUAAUGCUUUACUGGCUCUAUUUAACAUCUAAAAUUAGUACUUAUUUGGUACUACUCAAUUCUUAAAAAAAAAAAAAAAAAAAAAAAAAAAAGUGGAAAUACUUACAUACAUCAAACGUACCUACCAAAUAAAUAUAAUAAAGGAAUUUUUUUUGUAGAAAUAGAUAUACACAGCGAGAUAUUUGGUUGUAGAAAUUCAAUUUUCUAUAUAAAAUCACUUUCCUAAUAAGUAAAUUUCCAGAAAAGAAAUUUCAGGAAUAUAGAAUCUAUAUUCAUGUUUAGGUGGGAAUAAAAUUCGUUUUAGGAAAAUAAGGUAAUUAAAAGCAUUAAUGUGAUUUCGUUUUUAUUGAAAUUCAGCAUUGAAACCACAAAUAUGACAAGUAUUUUAGAAAAAAUUAUUUUCUCAAAUGUGAUAACCAUUAUGGAGAGGAGGUUGUAGGUGGAAAAUUAGAAAUAGAGGCUAUUUAUUCAAGAUUUGAAUUUCUUUGAAAAUGCAACAUUUCUAUGUACUAAUUAAAUAUUAUUCCUUUUAUACUAAAAUAUAAAUCAUUUAGUCCCUUUGUUCCAAAAAAUAAGUCGCUUUUGGGUGAUUAUUUUCUCCAAAAAUAUAAGUCGCUUUAAAUAUUUUAAGGAAUAAUAAAUGAUGUUUUUUCCAAUGAUACCUUUAUUUACAUUAGAUAUAAUAAAUACUUUCACAAAUAACUAUUGGUCUUGAUAUAACGGUUAAUUUAAUCAAAUUACCCUUAGUUUUGUUAUAAUAUAAGUGAAUUAAUUGAUUCCUUAAUUCUUCUGCAAAAACCUUAAACGGCUUAUAUUUUGUGAUAGAGAGAGUAAGAUUUUUUACACAAAUAAUUAAUUCUCCUAAAUUAUAACAAAACUGAUAGUGUGAUCAAAUUACCCUUCACCUCAAUGUCAAAAGUAAUUUUAUCUAAUAUAAAUAAGGAUAACAUCAGAAAAAACACGAUUCAUUACUCUUUAAAAUACUCAAAAAAAGACUUAUAAUUUAUGAUAAAAUAAUCACACAAAAACAAUUUAUAUUUUGAGAUAUAGGAAAUAUAAUUUUAUUUUCUUAUAUAAAAUUUGGAUAACAUUUCUUAGCAAUCAAAUGCUCUGGAGAGUAAGUAAAAUUUUUUCAAUGUGGAAUAUUAUCCAAGAUCCAAAACAAAUAAUGAUUUUCAAUAAAUCUAGGAUGGAGAAUUGAAAAGCAUUUACUUAUAUAAUGAAAAAGUUAUUGAAAUAUUAAAGAAAAAAAUAUAUAUAUUUGACUCAAAUGUUAUGAAAAUUCACAACUAGCACUUCACCGAUAUCCUUACGAAGAAAUAUAAAAUACAAAAUAAAAUAAAAAAUAAAAAUAGUGGGGGGUCCAUUAAAUUCCCGCGUCAGAUAAGAGUAUAUGCCCAAUAUGAUUCGUCGUGUGAGCAACGAAAUAUGCGCCAAAAACACCGUUGCGCGUUCCAAGUUCUUUUUAUCCGAAGCUGACACGUAUUUUAUUUUUUUAUGAUUAUUUUUCUGAACGCCGUUUUAAAUAUAUAACCGUCUGAUAUGAUUCCUGCCCCACUUCCUUAACAUCCAAUGCCACCAUUUUCUUGAUGGGCAUCAUUGUCUUUUGACGAUGUAUAAUUUAUAAUAAUUGAAAAAACAAUCUAAAUGUGAAAUUAUUCUUACAUUUUCUCCAAAAAAUUAAUUUGCAUAUUCUUUCCCGAAAUAGACCCAUUUUGAAUUUAUAAACAUAAUUAAUAUUAUUAAAUUAUAAUUUUUACUUAAUUUUUUAAUAUCUCUUACAAUUUUUUCCUAAAAUAAUGUAUUUUAAUCAGUUUCUUAUUUUAAGUUUUAAUUAAUUUUAUUUCAAGAUUGAAUAAAUUCACUUAUAAUCUUUUAUGUUAUAAUUAAAAUUAUUCAGAUCUUAAAUAUUUAUCAUAAUUAAUUGCCAACCGAACAAUGUUGAAUAUAUUUUUAUAAUUAAGGAAAACCAAAUAAAUCACCAACAAAUAAAUUAAUAACCAAAAUAUAAAACCUCUUAACCUUUUAUUUUGCACUGGACCAAAAUGCCAUUAGUUACCAAUUUAAUUAAAAUAAUUUUUUGAGGAAAAAUUUAAUUAAAAUAUUAAUUCACAUAAUAAUGCUUUAUUUAAUUAAUCAAACUCGGAUUAAUAUUUAAAUUUCACAAACUCAAACUUACGCAACAAUCUUAUAUAAUUUAUAAUAUUACUGUGGUAAUAUAGGUUUUGUAUAUAUAUAAAAAAUAAUCAUCUAUAUAACUAUUGCCUCCUAAGUUUUUUUUUUUUUUUUUUUUUUUUUUUUUGUUCUCGAGUUGAAUUUUUUUUUCUUCUCUUACUUAUAGUUAAAUACAAGACUAUGAGUUAACCAUGUGUGACGUUAUUGAUCUUCUUGCUAACGUGAGGAGUGAAAGAUAUCAAGUUCAAAUUCUUUCAACUAUAAAAAUUUUUACUAAUUUGAUGAAUAAAUAUUAAUUUAUUUUAGUAAAGAAUUAAAUAUUUAAUUAAUAAUUAAAUAAGAUUGAAAUAUUUAUUUUUAGUACAUUUUAUCAGAAGUAACUAUAAUUUCAAUUUUUUAUUCCACUUUAUUUAUUACUCUAGAGAAUUAAGAAAAUAUUAAUUAUUUUUUUCAAAUUUAUUUUUAUCUCUCUGAGUAUUAAUUAUUUAGAGAACUGAAAAGAGGUAAUAUAGUCGAUUAAAACCUUUUUCAUUUUUUACAAAAUUGAGAUAGUUUAUUUAUUGAUUAAUCUUUUUAUGCAAUCUAAUUAUUUCAUUUUCCCUAUUAAAAAAAAUAUGUAUGUUUUAAUGAAAUGGAAUGAGUUAAUUUCUAUUCUUAACAGUUUAUAACUAAUAAUAAUUUUUUUUUCCUCCUCUCUUAUUUCAAACUAGCAGUAUAGUUAUGGUACACACAUUUAAUAAAAAUAUAUAUAUUUAUAUGACUUUAUGUUAAUAAAAUAUGCGGAAAAAAAGGAAUGAAUAGCAAAUAAUGAAACCAUAGAUUUUAAUGUGAGAGUGUGAAUUAAUAAAUAAGUGCUGUGAAAUAUAAAUUAAACUCAUUAUUACAUAUUAAAAUAUAGCCUGAUGAUAAAUACAUAUAUGACUGUGACUUAUUCUUAUAAUUUAUAGAUUGUGGAUAGAACUAUCAAAAUCGUAAAUUUCACUCACCGCGUUGGCAGCUGUUGCUACUAAAUCAAAACUCAUAUUUUAUUUAAUAAAGGAAUUUAAAUUUGUUGUCCUAAAACAUCGUUUUCUUUCUUUUUUUCAAUUUUUAUACAAUAGAAUUUUUUUUGGCCAAAACUUAGUUUUAAAAUGACAAAGUAACCCCUUCUUAUUGCCAUGGAUCCAGCAAGCAAUCCGUGAUUCGUGUUAUUGAAUUAAGUGGCGCGUGCACUCUACUCCAUCCUUUUUUUUUUUCAAUUUCCGAAUUUAACCCUUUCCCUUCUCUACCCCACUCUCUCAGUUCUUACCAGUCAGUCACCACCACCACUUUCCCUACCACUUCAUCUCCUUUCCGCUGCUAAAAGGCCCUUCUCUGCUCUCUCUUUCUCUAUGGCAACCAUGGUAAGACCGCCGUCAUUAUUCCUCAUUCUCAUUUCCCUCUCAUCCCUCUCUUUCCUCUGCGAAUCAAGACUCUCUUACACCUAUUACGACAAAUCUUGCCCAAAAUUUUCUCAAAUCAUUCAAGAUACCAUAACCAACAAGCAAAUCACCAGUCCUACAACCGCCGCCGGAACUCUCCGUCUCUUCUUUCAUGACUGCCUCCUCAAUGGCUGCGACGGUUCCGUUCUCAUCUCCUCUACUCCUUUCAACUCUGCCGAACGUGACGCCGACAUUAACCUCUCCCUUCCCGGUGAUGCCUUUGAUCUAGUCACUCGUGCCAAAACUGCCCUUGAGCUUUCUUGCCCUAAUACUGUUUCUUGCGCCGAUAUUCUAGCCGUAGCAACCCGUGAUCUAGUCACAAUGGUUGGUGGUCCUUACUAUAGUGUUCUGUUAGGGAGAAAAGAUUAUCGCAUCUCUAAAUCUGCUUAUGUAGAAGGCAAUCUGCCAAAACCCACAAUGCCGAUGUCAAAAAUUAUCGAUAUUUUUGGUUCUAAAGGUUUUAGUGUUCAAGAAAUGGUGGCGUUGAGUGGUGCACAUACUAUAGGUUUUUCUCAUUGUAAGGAGUUCAGGAGUUUUGUGUAUAAUGACACAGAUUACAAUCCAAGAUUUGCUCAGGGUCUUCAACAGGCUUGUGCAGAUUCUUACAAGAAUCCAACUUUAUCAGUUUUUAAUGAUAUAAUGACACCAAACAAGUUUGAUAAUGUGUAUUUUCAAAAUUUGCCUAAAGGGUUAGGCCUAUUAGAAUCAGAUCAUGGAUUGUAUAAUGAUCCAAGAACCAAGCCUUUUGUGGAGCUUUAUGCUAAAGAUCAGAACAAGUUUUUCCAAGAUUUUGGGAAAGCAAUGGAGAAGCUCAGUGUUUAUGGCAUCAAGACUGGAAGGAGAGGUGAGAUUAGGCACAGGUGUGAUGCUAUCAACUGAAAAUUUUAUGGGUUCGUUUUAUUUUUAUAAUUUUUUUUUUUGUUGUUGUGAUUUAGUUGAGAAAUUAAAGGGAUAAUGGGUGAUCGUGAAUGAAGAUUUUGGGUUUUAUUUAUGUAUUAAUUCUUUUGGUUAAUUGUGAGGAUCUGAAGUUGAUAUGUAUACAAUAUUUGUCUGCACUGAUCAUGAUAUCAAACUUAAAUUAUACAUGUUUUCUUUACUUUUUCUUCUUGGUUUCAAUCUGUUUGUAUUUUCCCAAUGGGCUUCUGCUUGUUUUGAUGGUUUUAUUUAAUUUAAUUUGCUCAUUGCUCAAUUUUGAAUGUUAAGUAAUUGCCAGUUUUAAUGCUUACAGUUGCAUUUAGUAUUUACAGGACCAACAAUUGAUUGUUGGUCUGCUUGAGACCUGGUGCAAAACCAGCAAGGGAUUGCAUUUACCUCCAUUGCUGUUCUUUACUUCAAUUACAUAUUUUUUAUGAACAGGUUUUAAUUUAAUGGUAUUAUAGUAAUUUCAUUACCUAAAAAAUGUAGAAAUGAAGAAAUUAUGGUGAUGGAUUUAAGAAUAUAGUAAUGAGGAAAGUGAAGGGGAAAUAUGCUUUAGAGUUUGACAUUGGUGGUGUAUUUUUCGAAGUCUUUGAGUUGAAUUCUGUCUGUUCUUGUUUUAUUUACUUUAAUGGUGUCUCUUAUUAUUGCUUUACCACCAAUUCUUUACUGUCAAAAAACCAGAAUUGUGGUUUGAGAUGGAGAUCUGAAAUUUGAGCAGAGAAAUUUUGCACUGGAAUUGCAGACAUUACCAAACUACCGUCCACAUCUACUUGGAACUCAGCCACGCAUGUUCUAGUGCAGUAAAAUUCUUAAUGAAAUUGACGUUUAGCGAUGAUUGGCAUUGAGAUGAAAUUACUUUUUAAAAACUAAUCAUAUUGAUUAUUUUGAACUAUAUUUCUAUUCUUCCAAGAUUAAAGCGCACUAGACUCUAUUUUGGUGAUCCAAAAUUAGAUAAUCGAGAUAGUAUAACCGCUGUCCGGCUAAAAAAAAUUACUCUCUCACUUAAGUGUUAAAUGGGAAGAGGAUGACAACUUUGGUAAUAUCAAAAAAUUAUGUGUCGGUUCCGACCAAUUCAGGCCAAGACAAUUGACAUUCAAAUAAGGCAGCUGAGAGUACUGGAGCCCAAGUGUUACUCCGGCAGCAUGCAUCCAAAUCGAAGCCACUGUAGAAAUCAGAAUAGCUUUCAAAUGAUGACCCCAUAAAUGUAAUAAUCUCACUAUCUCAUUAUUAACAUAUGCCCAUAUCGGUCAAAAGUAAAACCACUUGAUGCAAUUGUAGCCAACAGCUCAGCUUGCUAAACAGACCUACCAUCCUUACAUUUCUUGAAUGAUUUUAAUAGUUUUGGAGCAAGCAGAAGAAACAUCAUCAUUGUGUUCUUCUGUUCUGAGGAAUUUUCUGAAUGUUAAUUUACUUCUUUAUAAAAAAAAACUUUAUUUUUGUUUUUGCCCAAAUUUAAAAUGUUGCCAAAGAAACUAUACAAUUAUAGCAAAUUUUAAUGUUGAUUGUAACAAGAGUUUUCAAAUUGGAGAGCUAAAACAGUAACUCUACAGUUCAAAUCUACGAUCAUCAGGGUGAAAUUUAGUGGCCUCAACCACUGAAUCAAGUUAUCUCUAAUAAAUUAUUUCUAAUUAUAAAAUUCUACAUAGAGAGGACAAUAAUGAUUUAGGCAGAUAAGCAAAUAAAUUAUUAAUUUUUUUGAGCUCAUAAACUAUGAGCAUGGUGACACUUAGACAAAUAUAUAGAUGUUUGUUAAAAAACAAAUUAGUUGAAUUUACUCCCUUUACCAUGAUCCAUUUGAAACAUUACUCAUGUGUUUGGAAAAUUUUAAUUUUUCAUGUAACAACCAUGCAAGUGUUCUUUAGGCUUGAAAUUAGUAUCAUGCUAUCUUGUGUGAGAGUAAAAUAUAUUUUAAACUUUACAUUUUCAUUUAUUUUUUAACCAUAAAAAUAUCCACAUUACACGAACUUUUCAUGGGCAAUUAAAAGUUUCGCCUGUAUUACGUCGCCCUGCAGGAAAUUAGAGUCAGAAUGGAAUUAUCUUAUUAGAGAUGGAGCUAAUAAAAUUUUUUCGAUUUAUUUUUCAUUUUAAUAUAUUAUUAUAAAGUAUAAAUUUCUUUAUUAACACAAUAAAUUAUAAAUUUUAAACAUAAUUUAGUAGUAUUUUUAUAUUGUUAGCUAAAAUCAUAACAUUUAAAUGCUUAAAUAUGUAAAAGUCCUAUUUUUUUAAUAAAAAUAAUAUAUUAUUGACGGUAGCGCGUUACAAAAAUGCAAAUAUCUACUGUCCGCGCCCCGAACAAUAUCGGGGUCGGAGCAAGUCAAAUCUGUUUCGGGUCAAAUUGUCAUUCAUAUUUUUCCGAUUUCUACUUCAGUAGUAGCGGGCUAACCCAACUUUUUGAACAUAGACGGCCCGAUGUAAACAAAAGCUAUCCGACCUGAACUUAUGGGCCCGUGAUUAAGAAGAUGGAUGAAAAUGAAAUGGAAUGGCUAAAACCCUAGAAGGGGAAUUAGGGUUUUUGCCAUUCUGGCUUGUAAGUAGCAAAGUGAAGUAAGUGAUACUCUUUCCCUUUCGCUAAAAAUUCGACUUUCUGGAACAGUUUUCUUUCCUUCUAAAGUUUAAUUCGAAGAAGGACCGCAGUUCUCCACCUAUUUUCACCAUGGACGUGGAAUACCCAGGUUUUGCUUAAUCAGUUACAGGUUUAUGGUUUUUUUUGUUUUUUUUUCUUUGGGUGUUUUCGCGUAGUGUAUUGAUUUUUUUUUUUUUUUUUUUUUUUUACAUCUCCUUUUGUUGUUAACGUCAGUUAAAGAUUUAGACAAUGACACAAGCGAAGAAGAGGAGGAGGAGGAAGAAGAAGAAGAAGAAGUACAAGGAAGCGAAAACAUCUCGAAAUCUCGGAAAAAAUUAGCUAGGGAGCAUAAAGAUCAGUUGCAGAAACUUAAAAAAAAGGUUUUUUUUUUUUUUUUUUUUUUUUUUUAAUCUUUUGGUUUUUUUGUUUCAAAACUUUAUUUUGUUUUGUUAGAAGGGAUUGGGACAUUUGAAUGCUUAUUCUCAUUUUUGAGCUUAUGAAUAGCCAUUUUAAAGUUUUUCUUGUGGUCUGUAACUUUGCAUUUCCGUUUUGGUCCUUAUGUUGCCAUGAAUAAUCAGGAAAUGUACUGAACUUAAAAGACCUUAGCUUGUCAGGUGCAAGUAUUUAUAGACUAUAGAUGGUUGAAUUCUAAGAUUUGGUGGUAGAACAGUCACUUGGAUAAUUUUUAGGUUUCAUUUGGAUAGGGAAUUGAGAGGGAUGGAUUUGGAUUGUUUUUCUCUUUUUAGGUUUAAAAUUUUCUCCUUUGAGGCAUAUUUAACAUCCAUGCAGUUGUUUGAUAUGUAACUUCAAAACUGGGAUUCUUUGCUUUGGAUCCCUAAUUCGGGAGUUAUAAGGGAAUUGCAGUUAAUAGGCUGGUGUAGUGCAAACUAUCAUGGUUGAGUUGCUUUUUUAUGUUGGAGGUUGGGUUUUGUCCAUAUUGAUCACGAGGAUAUAAAGAUUUUUAUAUUUACAACAACAAUAACAACAACUAAGUUGUAAUACCAAACUAGUUGGGUUGGCUAUAUGAAUCUUCUGUUUUCACUUUACUCUGUUCAUAACUAAGAGAAAUUUAGAUGAGAAAAAUUUUUAAUUUUAGAUGAUAAAAAUUUUAAAGCAUUAAUAAUAAACACAUUUAAAUAUCAACUAUCAAGAGGUUCUUAAUGGUUAUGAUAAUCAAUGCGAAGUCACUUUAUAACUGAUCAAUGUUUACAUUCCUUGCUACUGUUCUGAUUGUUAUUAAUGUUAUUUUUUCUGAAAAUUUUUUAUACAGGACCCUGAAUUCUAUCAAUAUUUGCAAGAGCAUGAUGAGGAGGUUUUACAAUUUGAUGAUGAGGAGAUUGAGGUGAGCUCGGAAUAGGUUCAUAGCAGUGACAGAUCCAGGAAUUAAAGUUAGGGGGGCUAAUAAAAAUUUCAAGAGUUAAAGGGGAGCGAAAUUGAAAAUACUUACUAUUUUAGUAGGUAAAUUUAAAAAAUUUUAAUUUUUUAUGGGUGAUUUUUUUUAAAAAAAAUUUGCUAGGGGGGGCCGGGGGGCCACCCCUAGACCCCCUAGCUCCGUCAAUGGGUUCAGGUGUCAGAAUCUUCCAGAUCAGUGAACUAAAUUAUAUUGCCAAGUUCAUACUUUUUGCAAUUUCUGCAGGAAGAUGCUGAUACUGAACUGGAGGCUGCAGAUAUGCAAGUGGAUGAAGAAACAAGCGAUCAUGAUAUUACAGAAAAGGAAGAUAAACCUUCUAAAAGUGCUAUUACCACUGCUAUGGUUGACUCUUGGUGUCAAUCAGUUCGAGAAAAUGGAAAAGUAGGUGCUGUCCGUUCUCUUAUGAAAGCUUUCAGAAUUGCAUGCCACUAUGGUGAUGAUGGUGGGGAUGACUCUUCAAUCAAGUUCACUGUCAUGUCCAGCAGUGUCUUUAAUAAGAUAAUGUCGUUUGUACUCGGUGAAAUGGAUGGAAUUCUUCGUAAAUUGUUGGGCCUACCUGCUUCUGGUGGUAAGAAAGAAACUAUAAAUAAUUUGAUGAGUACAAGAAAAUGGAAGAACUACAGCCACCUGGUGAAGUCGUAUCUUGGAAAUGCCCUACAUGUUCUGAACCAAAUGACUGACACAGAUAUGAUAUCUUUUACAUUAAGACGUCUCAAAUAUUCUGCUGUACUUUUGGGUGCUUUUCCAAAUCUAUUACGGAAGUACAUGAAGGUACACAAUCUGGAUGUCAUUUUCUUGGAGCUUAGAGUUUUUUAUAGUUUUUUUCCAUCGCAUAUGACUUCAACUUGUGAAUAUGAUGCCAUUUUGUUGGAGCUCCUGUCCUUAGUUGUUAUAGUGGUGAACACGAAGGAGGCCGGAGACUGUUCAUUCUCCGAAUACUGGAAAAGUUUAUACAUGUAUUUAAUUUGUUGGAACUGAAAUACCACUUCCUCCCUGCCAAACUUGAUGCAUGUAUCCUUAAAGUAUGUCCAUCCUACAAAACUGGAGUAGUGCAGUUAGGAUUUUGUUUGGAGCUUGUUGGUUAAUAAGGUUUCAUAGUUAGAUGCUUUAAAUUACUUCUUAAAAAUGAAUAAUUUCAAAAAGUUUCUUUAGUGAUUGGUUUUCUCAAGUUGCUAAGAUGUCUUGUAUGCUAUUUACAAAAUUGGGAGAGAAAUGUAUUAUAAAGGUUUAAGUGAUAGCAAAGUUAGUCACUAACAAUCUAUAAGCAUGAAUCAGAAUUUGGCUUUAUUCCUAUAGGUGUAUCAUGUCAUGCCUACUAUUGCUUUGUCCUGCAUUUAAGGUGCAAAACCCAAUGUUUGAAAUUAGAUUUGGUUUUGACUAUCUAGUCUCUAUGUUAUAAAACCAUUUUAUCAUAUAUGUAGGUGUCCUUAUGCGCUUACAAGAUUAUGGGUUUACUGACUCACGGUUUAAAGUGAACAUGCCCUGUGCUUUUUGAGUUUCGAUAUUUAAGGGACAGGACUCCUGUUCAUUUAUAAUUUGCUUUCACUGUCUUAUUUCAGGUUGUCCUUCACUUUUGGGGUACAGGAGGAGGAGCCCUCCCUGUUGUAUGUUUCCUUUUUCUGAGAGAUUUAUGCAUUCGACUUGGAUCUGACUGUUUAGAUGAAUGCUUCAAAGGGAUAUACAAAGCCUAUGUUUUGAACUGUCAGUUUAUAAAUGCCUCAAAGUUGCAGCACAUCCAUUUUCUCGGGAAUUGUGUCAUAGAACUUCUUGGUGUAGAUCUUCCAACUGCAUAUCAACAUGCCUUUGUUUUCAUCAGGCAACAGGCUAUGAUUUUGCGCGAUGCAAUUACUAUGAAAACUAAGGUAGUAUUUUUUUUAAUGAAAGAAUUGUAUGCUUCUCGCUAAUUAUGCUAUUUGUAUAUAGAUUUGAAUUAAAAACAUCUGAUUGAUGUGACACUGCAGUAGGCCAGGUGUAUCUCAUUUUCUCUUCUAAUUAAAUAUUUUUUAUGGGAGAGCAUGCUUGAAUUGUUGCUUUAUUUUUGCUGUUGCUGCCUUAUGUUUUAGUUCUGGGCAAUUGUACUAUUUAUCACUUUUUGUGCAGUUUCUCACCUUAGACGCACAAUACCUCUCACUGUUCUGUAGGAAUCAUUUCGCAAAGUUUAUGAAUGGAAGUUCAUAAAUUGCCUUGAACUUUGGACUGGUGCUAUCUGUGCUUACAGUUCAGAAGCUGAUCUUAGGCCUCUUGCUUAUCCAUUGUCCCAAAUAAUUUCUGGAGUUGCCCGCCUAGUUCCAACUGCUCGUUAUUUCCCCCUCAGAUUGAGGUGUAUUAGAAUGCUGAACCGGAUUGCUGCUUCUACUGGUACCUUUAUACCUGUUUCUAUACUUCUUUUGGAUAUGCUGGAGAUGAAAGAGUUAAAUAGGCGCCCUACUGGUGGUGUUGGGAAAGCUGUUGAUUUACGUACCAUAUUAAAGGUAUUUUAUGCUCUUUAUUAUUUUCUUUAGGUUUAGGUCAAGUGGCUCGGAAAGGUCAAAUUUCAGCGCUUCUGUCAAUAUUGGCCCCAUUUAUCAAUUUUUUAAAUUAUCAUAUAACAUUUUACUUUCAUGUUAUUGAUAGAAAUAAGGAGGAUUUCCUUUGCUUCUUUACGUUCUAGCCAAAAACAAAUCUUCCUUUGGAUUGUUUUCUUCAGUUUACUGUUUCGCUUUAUUGCUUAUAUAAAUUUGGAGAAAUGUUAAUCCAGGUGAGCAAGCCUACCUUGAAGACGAGAGCAUUUCAGGAGGCAUGCGUAUUUUCUGUGGUUGAAGAGCUUGCUGAACAUUUAGCUCAAUGGAGCUGUUCUGUUGCUUUCUUUGAACUGUCUUUUGUUCCAGUUGUGCGGUUGCGUAAUUUUUGCAAAACUACUAAAAUUGAAAGGUUCAGAAAAGAAAUACGUCAGCUUAUUUAUCAGGUAAGUCCCUUUAAAUAGUGAUUAGUUGUAGUCUACUGGAGUGAGAAUUUUCUCAGAAGUGUAUCAGAGGAGAGUGAUAUUUCUUUUAGUCGACUUCUAUAAAUAUUUGCACGGCGUACUAAUGCUUUUCCUCUUGCCCAAGGUUGAGGCUAAUUCUAAGUUCACGAAUGAAAAGCGCAUGUCCAUAAGUUUUCUACCAAGUGAUCCAGCAGCUACAUCUUUUCUUGAGGUCUGAGAAUCCAUUCUUCCUUCCUUUUUUUGUGCUAAAAUUUUCAUCUACAUAUUUAGUUUGCUCUUGCGUAGUGGUAGAGUAGAUGUCUUUUUUAACCUUCCAAUCAGUGGCCUCUUAUUUGUGCUCUUGUUUUCUGAACACUUUUAACAUUUGACUGCAUCAAUAAGCCCAAAGCUAGUCUAUUGCAGCUUUAUGAAGUAUGAACAAUAUUGUAGAGAUGAAAUCCUCUUUCAUAGUGCAGAAGAAAUGGAUGGGGGUUGUUAUUGUGGAUUCUUUUAUGUUUUUAUUAUGUGAUUUUCUUACUUUGUUGGUUAACAUCUUACUGAUGUUGGCUGUAAUGUUUCUGGUAAUGAUAAAUGCCAAGUUUACUGCAACACGGGUUCAUUCAUGAUACAGAAUGCAACUGAUAAAGUUUUCUAAGCAGAAAAUGAUCUUUAUAUGUGUUCUUUUUAUGUACCUUUGGCUAAUUCAAUGUGCUGAUAAAUGAGUCCUGUAUUUUGUCACAGGAUGAGAAAAAGUCAGGGGCCAGCCCUCUGUUACAGUAUGUUGAAACUCUACGGAAGAGGGCACAACAGCAAAAAGAUUCAUUGGAGGAAUCCAGGUUUAUUAUCCAUUUAUUUUUUUAAUCAUUUGUUAUAGUAAUCCUUUUCUGCUGUCAGAAGGCCAAUAUGUAAGUCAUAGCUUGUAAUUUUCAGCGUUCUUGUGGGUGAAAAAUCAUCUUUCUUUGCCAAGAAAGUGUCGGAAAUCAAUGAAGAUGAUGAUAGUGAGACUGAGAAAAGUGCUGCCGUCUUUAGUUCCUCCUGGUUACCGGGAGGUGAUUCCAGGUUCAUUUCCUCUCUUUUUCAUCUCCACUUGCAUGCCUAGAUACAUUCAUCAUAAUAUUGGCUCUCUCUUGCUUCCCACCCCACAAGAGUAUAUGCAUCCAGAGUUUAUCUGUGAUGGUUUGUAUUUUCAAUAAGUAGGGUAAUAUGUGCAUGUGAGCCUUAGCAUAUAAUUGCAAGAUUGCUCCUUUUUGAUAGGAAGAUCGUGGUUCUAACUGGGGGAAAUAACCUGUUUGCGAAAAAGCAAGAGAAAUAACGAGUACGAUAAAUUAUCCUUGUACAAUUUAACUUUACUGACUUCAGCUCUUUGGUUUAUAGGACGAAGCCCUCAAAGGAGAAAAAGAAAACAAAGAAGAGAAAGGCAGAGCAGCAAGACGCAGAGGAAGAUGUUGUGGAGGAUCUGAUUCUUAGUUCUGAUGAAGAUGGAUCUGUCAGUGACCCGCUUUCUUCUUCUGACAACGAUGAAGAUGAGAAAUCAUUGCCUCCUAAACUGCAGAGUCAGAAGCAGAAACCUUCUGAGAAAUUAUCGAAGAAGAGAUCUCGGCCAAGGAAAAAGAGGAAGUCUUCUGAUAGUAAAGUUGAUAAAGCAAAAUCUGUGCCUCCUGAACAGCAACACAUGAAGUCGAGACCUUCUGGAAUUUUGUCAAAGAAAAAUGUGCGAUCUCAGAAGAGGAAGAGGAAACAGAACUGAACUGGCUGAUGCAUAAGCAAAAGAAGUUCCAACAGCGAGAAAAGUAAUUGAUGGAAAAUUGUAUUACACUCACAUUUCCAAUAUGAUUUUGUUUGGAAUAUAUAAGAGAAAGAAAAAAGCAUAAAUUAUUUUGUCUACAAAUUUCUGAUGUGCUCAAAGUCAAAGCUCAAUUCUUAGGAAAAGAAGCAUUAUAGUUGAAUUUUGUGUUCAAGUUGCAUUGUGACCAACACUUGAAUGGCCUGAUACAUUCAAGAACUUCUAUUUUUGGAAUUUAUUUUAUUUUAUUUUUGUAUGAUACGAAUCAAAUUCUUUCAAUGAGGAAAAGUCUUCAUCUAAGCUGUAUAAACGGCUCAGCCAAUUUGGUUUGGUUUCGAUUUGGAAAAUAAAUUUGGAUUUAUUCGGUGAUAUAUAUAGAUCAUGGUUCGAUUAAAAAUUGAAGUGAAUUAAAUCAUAAAAUAAAUAUUAUUUGUAGGUGAUUUUCAAUGUAAAUCAGUCAAUUUGAUAAAUUUGCAAUUAAUAUAAAAAUUUAAAUUAAAAAUAAUUGGAUUCAAUUUAAAGUUUCACAGAAAUUGACUGAAUCAACUAAAUCUUUCAUGAUUAUCAAUUUUCAAUUUACAUUAUAAUGUGGUGAAUAAAAUUUUAUUAAUAUUAACAUUUUUUUUUUUUUUUUUGAAAGAGAAGUAGACCAAGAGAUAAUUAGAUCAUUGAAAAUGUACUGUAUUUUUAUAUGUACAAAUCCAAAGAGAGAAAGCCAAAAUCAAAUAAAGCUUUUACUGAACAAAAAUUAAAUAAAAAAUCUUAUUUAACAAUUUUCUAUUAUUUUUUGAAUGCAUCUUAUAAUGCUUCAUUAUUUACACCUUUUUUAUUGCCCCAGAAUUAGGAAUUAGGCAAAUGGAAACAAAAAAAAAAAAAAGAAAAGUAUGAUAAUGCCAAACCAAAAAAAUGCCUCCCACAUUAACAAACCCCGAAAAAGAAGCAUAAACAAAACAAAUAAUCAACCUAUGCUCCACUUAUAACUCGGACGAUUCUAUACUUGACUCGUUUCCGCCACCGAGUUGACUCCGACUUCUUGCUAUUGACCCCGAGUCCAGCAACAAUUCCUCCCAAUCCACCUCUUCCUCCCCCUCUUCCUCCACUUUCCCUUUCAUUUUCUCCAACAUUCGCUUUGCCUUUUCUCUCGUUUGCUCCCUCCCCGACUUCUCCAACUGCAGCAACACCUCCAUUGCCCCGGCGGUCUUAGCCAACCCUUUGAACCUCAAACCACCGUGACUCAGUGCAUACAACACGGACACACAACUCUCUCGAGUUGACUCAGAUUCCAACCCGCUCCCUUUCAACAAACCCACCAAACAAUCCACCCCACCCGAAUCCAACAUAGCGGCUCGCCCGUCUACACACGAUGCCAAAUUACACAGUAUUAGCAAAAUCCGACUCCUCAUAUGACCCGACUUGACCAAACCCAAAAGAAUUGGUACUGCCCCGAGUUUGACUAGCUUACUCCGAUUACUUUGAACGAGUGAAAGAUGAUAUAAAGCUAAAGCCGAGUCAUGCCGAGUCCACUCACUUUCGGAUCGAAGUAAGUGCAAUAGUGGAGGCAAAGCGCCUAAAACACCAAUUGCAGUCUUAUUAUGAUCAUCGAGAGCUAAACUAAAGAUCACACCACAAGCAUGUUCCUGCGCCUCAGGGAAUCCGCCCUUUAAUACAUCAAUCAACAGAGGAACAAUUCCUGACCGUACGAUCUUAACUUUGUUUACUUUCUGUAAAGACAAAUUAACUAAACAUGCAACCGAGUUCACUUGAAUGUUAAUGUACCUUGAAUUGAUUAAAGAUCGGACGGCUGAGAGUAAUCUUGGAGUACACAGCUCGAUUCUAGAAUGUUCGUUUGUUCUGGUAAUCUUUCUCAAUGAAAUUAAUGCUUCUUCAAUCUCAAAUACUUGUGAGCUUUUUAACUUUUUAAAAAUCUCUUCUUCUUCAUGGUUAGGGUUAGGGUUUAAGGCUUCAGUCUCUGAUGAAGAAGAAGCAGAAGAGUAACAACUUGGCCGAGUCGUGAAUUGCAAUGGAGGCGUGGACACCGCGGUUUCCACCGAUUCCUCUGAACUCGACGAGAAAUUCGUUCGCCGACUGUGAGUCAGUUCAGUGACGGCGUGAUUGAAAUUCACUGGAGGAAUCUCUUUAACCCUGCAAAUCAAAUCUUUAUCCUCCAUUUUUGCACGGACAAGCUUCUCUGCAGAGAAGAAAUCAAGGGGUUUUGGUGGGUUUAUUGAGUGGUCAUUACACCAAUUUAGAAUUGCAGAUUUGAGUGCUAAAUUGGGAAUAACAGUAGAAAAAUUAGGUACUGUACCAUCCACUAAAGUAGGAGUAAAAGAAAGAGUAUUACAGGCUUGGACAAAAACACGAUCAAAAGUAUGGCCAGAGGAGACAAUAACAGGGUCAUUCAUCAAAGAACCGGAGAUUGGACAGAGGAACUCUUUCGGCACCGGAACUUCUUGUUUCGGGUGUUGUUUCUUUGAGGAAGAUGAUCUGCGAAAGGAAGCCACUCUCCAUUUCUGCUUCUCUGUUUCUUUCUGUGAGUCAUCAAUGACAAGUCGUUUCUCUACAGGAUGCUUAUGUAUAACUAGUCUCAUAAGUGCUUCUUGAAACUCCAUAGCUUUUGGGUAUUUUCCUUUUUACUCAAUUAUGUUUGUAGAUAGAAACAAAAUAAAAGAGAAGUUGAGAAUCCAUAGCAAGCUUGAAAUAGAAGUUUUUUAGAUUUAAAAGGGAAAAACGGGAAAGAAGCUGAAAUGGUGGCGUUUAGAUGAGUAGUGAAGACUAAGUCAAGAAGGAGAGUAGUUAAGGUUUGGAUGAUGAAACCUGUGGUAGUAUGAGAUAUGAUUCCGUUGCUUUCGGAGGAGAAUAAGACCAAAAGAAGAAGAGGUGCAGACGAGUAGUGCAAUAGUGACAGUGGUGGUGAUGCUUAAGCUCAAGCAAGUGAACCUCAUUUUUUUUUUUUUUUUUUGAUAUUUCUGUAAUCAUUAAUAUAAUUUUUUUUAUGAAAAUUAAUAAUAUUAUUAUAAUUUUUAAUUACGUUACAUUUUAUUACGACUUAUUAAUGUGAAAUUAAAAUUUUUAUUUAAUUAUGUUUUAAUUAUUUAUGUUAAAUUUCCAAAGAUGUACUUGAGGUAUAAUGUAAUCGAAGGACUCAUAUUUUAUAUGAGGGAUGUUAGUCAUUACUUGUGAAGAUAACUGUUUUGGAAAUAAUUAAUAUAUAUUUUAAUUAAUAAAAGUAAGAGUUUUGAAUAAUUAUUUAAAAGAACUACAGUUGGCAUAUAUAUAUAAUUUUCAAAUCAUGUUAAUAAAUUUUAAAAAAGAAAUAAAUGGAAAAGGGUUAUCUUGGAUUAUAAAGCCCAAGGUCCAUCCAAUGGUCCUCUUCGUAAAGUUAAAAAUCGCAGCCUCAUAGCCUCAGAUCUUCGUCAAAUAUUUGUAUUAUGAAUUUAAAUAAUAUAAAAGCAAUAUACAAAAAAUAUUAUAGAUGAAGUAGCAGAGGAUUCCAUACUCUGUCAAUGCAAACAGAAGAUGGUAUGCAUGCAAUUAUUGAUGCUGUUUAAAGUUAAUUGCCAUUAUCAACUUUUAAAUUCCGAUUGCACUUUGCUUCAACUCCUAAAAUUUUAUUCCGUGACUCAACAGAAAUUUUCCGGCAAUUUGAUGACGUGGCAGUUCCUUCACCGUUGAUGUAAUAAAGAGCACCCUGACAAUCCCUCGUGCUACAUUCUUUUUAAUUGCAAAGAAAAUAAAAAAGGUUAAGAAAAAGACAUCUGUCGCUUUCACUUUAUCUCAAAAUAAAGUUGUUUUUUCUUUUUUUUUUUUUUUUUUUAAAUUUAUUUUUUUAAAUAAGCAAAUUGCUCUGACUUUUUUGCAUGUUUAGAACCAAUCACGCUUCACAUAUAACAUCAUUAGCUAGCUAAUGCUAUAUAAUUAUGAAAUAAUUGCAUACUUAAUUGCUAAGCAUUUGCUAAGCUUUUUAUUUUAAUAUUGUGUGUAUUAUAUUAAAUUUAAUUAAAGAUACUAUAUAAAUGAUUUAUCUGAAAUUUGUGUAAUAAUUUGAUUAGCUUUUACAGUUAAUUCACAACAAUUUUCAUUUCUUUGAUAAAAAUUACUAAAAGAAAAUCACCAUUUUGUUUUGUAGUGUAUAAUAUAUAUAUAUAUAUAUAUAUAUAUAUAUAUAUAUAUAUAUUGAUAAAAAUAUCUAAUUUUAAGAUUUAUUUUCUGUUUUAGUAUUGUUGAAAAUUCCUAAAAGGAAAGAAAGCAACAAUAACUAUAAAUUUGUAUUUUUUAUAGUUAGGGAAAGGAGAACUAGUCUUCAACCUGCAACAAAGAGUGGAGGAUUUUUAUUCAAUCGCGUAGUUUGAAAUCUUAAAAUAUGACGUUCCUAGAGUUUUUUAUUUGAAAGAUUGAUUUCUCCGAGUUUGAUUGAUCAGUCAUUCUGAAAUAAAAGGAGCUUAUAAAAUCAAUCUUAUUUUAUCGCUCCAAAUAUGUCAAGAGUUACGUUGGUGGUAUAUAAAUGUAAACCGUUGGUUAAAAAACUUUCAAAGUUCAUACAUUAAGGUUCAAUAGGAGGAAUAUAUAAAUUUCCUCCCGAAUUUAAUAAUUUUAAUCUUAUGGCAUCGUAAACUUUAUAAAUGACAUAUUAUGUAUUUAAAUUUAUAAAUUUGAUAACUUUUUACACGUUUCCACACUAACAACAAUUGUCUUUAACAUUUGGUUUUUAUAUGUAAAAUAUUGAUUUGAUAUGUAGUUAGCAUAACUUUUGAAAUAAUAAUUUAUAUAUUUUUUAACUAUUUAAUGAAUGUUUAGUUAAUCUAAUUUUGCAUGUUGAAGUGUUCAAUAAAAUGAUUUUACAAGUUGAAGUAUUUAAUGGGUGUAAUUUUAUAAGUUGAAGUAUUUGAUGGGUCUAAGUAAAGGUUGAGAGUAUCAUAAAAUUAAAGUAAUAAAUUUGAGAGGUGAAUUUAUGCAUUCAGUCAAAUUCAAUUUAAGGCUUAUGUUCAAACAAGGAAAACAAAAAAUUUCUAAAAGGAAAGGUAGCAGCUAUAAUUUUAAAGGCUAAUUAUUAAAAAAGUUUCAUACUUUGCAGGUAGUUUUAAUUGUAUGCUAAAUUUAACUUUCUUCUCC